Molecule: long non-coding RNA, 56666 nt
Filed under: Triticum aestivum (bread wheat)
Lineage: Eukaryota; Viridiplantae; Streptophyta; Magnoliopsida; Poales; Poaceae
Description: long non-coding RNA (TAES_LNC022263)
Source: RNAcentral
UUUCUUUUUUUUUGUUUGGGAAAGUUAUGGGGUAAGGGAGACAUAAUUUAGGCAACAUUUAAUCUGUUACUGGUUUUAUGCAUAGUGUAAUCAAAAUAAAUAUCUUGCCGAUUUUGUUGAUAGUAUUUUUUUAUGGAAACAUGCAAAUAAGGAAGGACAUGGUGCACCUUCCUAACUGUUGUCGCACAAUUCCCCACGGCCUCAUAUCUACUCAAUAAAAUCCUACGGGCUCCUUCCUCUCUCGCUUUACCAGUUGUACGACCGACUUUUUGCCCCGUCAAUGGAAGCAAUGGCGAAUUUUGGGGGAGUGCGACACGCAGUCGACUACGUGUACGAUUUCAUAGCACUUUCCUCAGACGAAGAAGUACUAGAGUAAGUUCUCACGGCCCGAUAGAUCUAAUAUUUUUUGCUCUUCAUCGUCUAAGUCCACUGCCAUGUACAUGUAUACUUUGCAUUUAGAAGUUAUACCCCCAUAAAAAAUCUUCCUGCCCUGUACAUAUAUACUUUACGUUUAGAUUAGAAGAUAUACCCUGGUCAGGAUCACGUGAUCUUUGUCUAAGUUCAGAUUUCUGUUACAAAGGCUGAAUGUGUAGUUAUUUUUCUUAUACAAGUAUAUAAAUACAUAUUGAAUGGUUGUUACUAGAUAUUAUAUUUGUAUUGGUAAAUUGUGUCUAAAACCAGUGUUUUGCGGCGUCUAACAUAAAUAGCUGAUAAGUAUGGAACAAAAUACGUAUGAAACUGUGGUCCAAAACUAUGGGGUCUAACACCUUUUACAACAAUGUUGAACAAGCUAUAAACUACAUGUUGAAUUUUUCAUCCAAAAUCUACAACAAUUUUUAUGCAGGUCCAUGUACUACUACGAAAACACUUCAAUCUGUUAGUUUAUUGCCCGUACAUAAUAUUAAAAAUACUUAACUUGGUAGAGAUUACAAUAUCUUUUAGGUCAUUUAAUGUGAUAUAUACUACUGUUUAAUUAUUCAUAUCUUAUAGACAGCAACACAGUUUUAUCGUUUGAGUUUAGGAUUACUUGAAGUCAUAUAAUUGGUAUGAACCUUGAUCUUCAUUUUUACAGCACAAUCUGGAUUAGGAGCCCGCGCCCAUUCCCUAUCGAGAUUAGCCUACGGAUCAUCCGAGACACCAUACUAGGAGAUGGACUUGUCCAUCCGUUAUGCUUCAAUUUAGCUGUGUGUAAGAUUACUACCGACGCAGCAGAGAGGAGCGCAGGCACCAACUCUGUUGGAAAGACACAUUUUUUCAAUUUGGGAUUCCAUGUGCAAGCACAGGUGCUAAGGCAGACUUGGUUAAGCCAAGAACAGCGCACGAAUGCACUGAUUAACAAUGUCGUGCUUGAGCCUUUUCCAAGAUACUGCGUGUUUCACACCCCUACAAUUGUAAGUGUUCUCUUUCUUACAAAUUAGUUGGUUACUUUGUUUGACAUUUACCUUUGUCUACCAAAUGCAGUAUCUUCUACCACUGUCACUCGUGGAUUCGUCCUACGGUCUUUUAGCAGUGAACAUGGAAAUGGAGAGGACUAUCGUUAUUGAUUAUUCGAACCAGGAUGUGUUUCAUUUUGAGGAGGACCCCCAUGGCACUGAACUUCAGAGGGAAGCCCUUUUAGUGAAGCAAGAACUUAGCUCUGUAUUGCAACAGGAGGCCCCUGAUAGGAACAGCCAACUUGUGGAAUGGCCCGAACAAGAUAACAUUCAUGUUUCACCUCGGUGGUACUAUUCUAAAUUUGGCUUGCAUAUUAGUGUGUGCUCUAAUAUAGCUAAUACAAUAUGUUUUGUUUGGUGACAGUAUGGACUCCGGAUUCAAAGUUCUACAGGAGAUGGCCCAUCUGUAUGAAACCAUCGGUAAUGACAUGGUUCAUAACAUGCCUAGGACUGACGUAAGUGAUUUUGUAAUGAGGUUACAUAUUGCAUAUAUUUGCUAAAUAUAUCUUCUGACUUUGUUUAUGCAUAAUUUGUAGGAUCCACAAAGUCUCAGGAAGCGACUAAUGGUCCAGCUGUUGAUGGUUAGGGAUAACCAAGCAAAGGAUAACAUUCCAGAGCAAGUUAGAGCAGCGUUGAGAUUUAUUGGUGGCUAAGGAUGACUUCUCCAUCGAUAAAUACCUUAUAAUAAAAUGAUGUUUAGUUGCUUUCUAGGAAAUAUCUGUUUCAAUGCCCGUGCUGAUGAUCAGUUGACAUUUUCUCUUAUAUUUAUGUUGGUUGGUAUCCACUAGCUAUAGAUUGAUGUUGGCAUCCCCUAGCUUUGUUGGUUAUAUAUCUAUCCUUCCAUCCGUCUAAAUAUUACGAGAAGAAGGCCAUAUUAGUUUGGACCAGGUUUGGUGCUCCAGGUGCACCGGCAGGUGAUGUUUUCAGAUAUUCAGUGCCUCGCAACAUAUACUACUACUACCUCGUAUAGUAUAACUCCAUCCAUACAUGCACUGCUAUACUAUACGAGGUUUUCUUCGUAGUAAAAAACACAUUCCAGCUAGCGAGUAGUAAAUAAAAAUAUGAUUGUCAUACGACACGUACCUUGCAUAUAUUAUAUAAGUUUCAAGUUCUCCUUUAUCUGCCUCUCUCGCCGAUUCCUUCAAUUCCAUCCUUGCAAAUAAACACUGAUUAUCUUUUAUGUGUUCCUGAAUAGAAAACAAAAAUUAGAGAGAGCAAUGGGUUUUCUUAUUGAUCAGUACAUAUAGAUAAAACCUAAAACUAAAAUGGUAGGUAUGUUAGAGCCAGACAUAUAUAUAUAUAUCGCAUCUUUGACUAAGUAUAUUGGACGAAAACGAAUCCUAUUUGUGAGCUAGAUGUCUAUUUAUCAUGUUGCUAUUUACCUCUUCAAGUGUUUGCCUUAUUUUUUAUUCUAAUGUAUGGCACUCUUAUGGGCCCGCAGAAGGUUUCUUUGUAUGCUUUACCCAAAUUCAUGUUUUUUUCCCGCCGAAGAAAAAACUACUCAACUUAGUUUUAAAAUUUUGUCAUGCCUAUUAAAAAAUUGUAUAUAUGUAUUUUGAAAUAUGUUCAUCAUGCAUUCAAGAAAAAUUUAACAUGUACUAAACAAAGUAAUGUUCAAAAUUACUCUUACACUUGUACAAACACGUUCUUUAUGUUUUUACAUAUUUAUAGAGUGAUGGAACCUAUGUACCUCAGGUGCAAGUGUUUCUGAAUUCCACCGAUCAUUUCCUGCAUUAUUUGCCUGCAGAUUAUAGUUUAACUUGACCCUAUUAGAAUGAUGUAAUGGACUCACUUAUGAAAAUUGAGUUGAGCAUACUCUUACAUUAGAAGGCUUCAAGGCUCCCCAUGAUUUUACAUUCACCCAGUUUAGUUGAUCAAGGGACACAUUUGCACUGAAAACAGACAUUUGUACAGGGAAAUCAAAUAGCCACCACGACACCAAAGUAUAAGAAUUUUGAUUAAAAAAAGAGACUGAUAUUCAACAGCCAGAUACAUUUGAAAUUAUAAAUUUGAUUGACGCCAUUGUUAUUUAAAAAAAAUAUGAUUAUGCCAUAAUUGAGCUUAGCAAUUUUAAUAUUUCAAAUGAGGAAAUCAUCAAGCAAUUUAGGUUUUAGUUCUCAUUUAAUUAAAUUCGUAGUGUUUGUUAUAAAUUAUUUGGAAAAUAAUGAACUCUAUGGCUCUUAUUACUAAACAGACUAUCCUGCUAAUGUUUUAUAUAUGGGAUUUGGGUUGGCUAAUUGGAUCCUAGCAAACCAAGACAACGAUGCAUCUUGCUUUGCACGUCAAUGAGAUUUUAACAAAGCAAACAAUCUGUUUGUCUUACACAAUUUGUGCAUUUAUCAUCAAGCUUAACAUAUACAAGACCACUAACAAUAUCGAGACCCUCACAUAUAUUAUCCCAGGCCUGCAUAUCUGGUUCAGUGAUUGUUCGACAUAAACAAGACCACUCACAAUACUACUACUAAGCUACUAUACUAAGUUGAUACCGUUUAGUCGUGUAGAGGAUGUACCUGGCUGGUCAAAUUUGCUGGAGUCAGCUCUGUCUCACCACAGUCUUCACCACCGUGGCCUUGUCAUGGCCGUCGGGGAUACCUCUUCGCCCAGGCCCUGCCUUUGAGGCCCGGUCACGGCACCUCGAUACAUCAUCGAGGAGGAUAUCAGGUCUUGGAAGCAAAAAAAGGAAUAAUUUUCUUCAAGUUGAUACCAUGUAGUCGUGUAGAGGAUGUACCGACCUGGGCAAAGUCGCUGGAUUAUGCUCUGUCACAAAUGGUCUGCAACAGUUCCACGCCCCCUUGUGACCUACGGCCGCUUGUACCCAGACGAUGUUGACGUUGUAACAGGUCGAUGAUGCAUUAGAUGCAUCUGUGUUUUGAUUGUGCAUACAACAAAAACAGAAGGUUCUUAAUUGCCAUCUAUCAGAAACAAAACAUUUUAGAUUAUUUUAAUGUUUAUUUAACUUGAUUUAAACGUAUGAAAAGUCAUGUUUACCUAUUCAAACUGAACAAUAAUAAAAAUAGAAUCAAUAUUUAAAUAGACAAAUAAGAUAUUUGGUUUUUAUAUGGCAUGCAAUCAGUAAAUUAUCUGCCAUGAUAAGUUCUUUAUUUAAUUAAUACAACAAUUUAAAUUUUUAGUAAGUUCUGAUUUCUGACAUCUUUUAUAAUUUAUUAUGAGGUGUGUUUGAUGAAAAAAGGAAAGAUAUCUACAACAUACGUAAGUAUAUAUGGUAAAACUUGAAAUAUAUCAGCUACUCAGCCUUCCCCUGCAUGGCCUACCUAUAUAUGUUAACCUCCUCUGCCAUCCCUCACCCCCCCUCCUUACUCUCCCUUCGCCCAUCACAGAUAGCAAAGGAUCAUAAUACCCAUACUUGGAGCACCAAUUCCCUAGGAGUACCUUAUGUAAGCAAGGAGCACCAAGAAGGUGAGGUCCUCUAGGUAUGUGAAAAUUUCUGGAUAUUUGUAUUCUGUAAAAGGGCAACAGUUACUAGAUUAGGAUCAUGCUUUGGUCAGGCAUACCAUCAAAAUCCAAAAAAAGAACACCAUUGGAGAUAGUGCGAGGUUAGAAAAAUAUCAUAGCCAAUACAAUUGAUUUUAGAUCUAAUCAAGCAGUCCUAUUAGAUGGGAUGCAACUGAAUACAAACAGCUAUUUCAGAUAUUAUAGGCUAACAGUCUAUUCUGGACAUCGCAAGUGUGGCAUACACCUAACUGUUUAAGUUAUGACCAUGGUUUGAGCCAGAAAAACAAACAAUUAACUUCUUAAGUGUUUCAACAUGCCAGAAAACAAACAAAUUAAAUCAUCUUCUGAAGAUAAAUAUCAUCAGAGUCAUAAUAUAAAAUCAUUACAUGUAAUAGAAUUUGCAUGAGACAUAAUGCUUCGAUGGAAUAGUCUAAAAGUAUUCAUAAAGCCAAAUUUAUUAAUGGCAGUGCUUCCUAAUUUUACCCUAAGAAAGACAUCUUGGCUGGACAGACUUAAGAAGGAUUUCUCUCUCCUUACCUAUAGGGUCAAUGAAAAACACAAACAUCUUAUCCCUCUCAUACUUGCCUCCAUAGCUUAGUUCUCUCUCCACCCCCCAAAGUGGCGGGUAGAUACAUGUAAAGAUAUCAUGUAAAUUGUACAAAGUUUUUCUAAUAUAAGUUUAAAACAGUAGGAGGUUCUCCUACUAUUCAAGGUUCAAAAAAAAUAACACUAAUGUCUAAUAUUAUAAAUAGCACAGAGUGGGUUGUAACACGAUGGUAUUUUACGUAGCAUAGAACAUUUAAUAUAUUUAAUAUAUCCAGAGAAGAGGUGAAGCACCGCUACAGUUUUAUACCAACAAAAUAAACAAACAUGCAGAUUCAAAUUAUAGCCAUUGCAUAUGAAGGCAAGACCGCAUUAUAAAGAACAUGUAUUCUGCUCCUACAAAUAGCAUGUAAAGAAAACCUCACUAUCGUCCUGGCGCUGGCCUGAGCGCUCCAGACAACGAGGAUGCCGCUCCCGGUGCCGGCAUCAACAACCACCUGACAGACCCACCGAAUCAAUCAAGCCGGAGCCAGCAAGAUAUAUACAUUGAUCAAUAAUCAAAUUUUCAUUAAUAUACUGCGCUGACUUCCAGCACCAUCUUAUUGAGAGCAUAUUGCCAGUUCUUCUCUACUUUAUUUCAACACUGUUGUCUGCUCACAUAUAUUAUAAUAGACCAGAAAAAAUAAUCUACAUAGUUUAUUAUGUCCACUACCACCAAGUUGGGAGUCAAAAAUGUUACAUACUGUGCGGCAUCUUGAAAAAGUACUAGCUGAAAGAAUAAGCAACUCGUUUGAGGCCAUUGUAACCUACUUUUGAUGUUGUUUGCACAUGACCCGACCUCUCCCUCUCUCUUCCCCUAAAGCUAAUAGUAGCAGUACACACUCACAAUAGCUAGCACAUACAUUUGUACAUCUCCCUCUACCUCUCCCUCUCUCUUCUCCUAAUACUAAUAGUAGCAGUACACGCUCACAUAGCUAGCCACAAAUUACAGCAAAACGUGGACCGUAGUCCAUUCGCGGGUACUGGGCAGGGGGGAGGGGCCGUUUGUCUCACCUUGACGCGGAAGUGGUGGGGGUUGCCGAAGACGGCGGAGUGGUAGACGAUGAAGACCACAGGCUGCACCACCGUGACCCGACCUCGUGGUGGUUCUUCUUGCCGGCGAUGUGGACCACAGGCUGCACCACCGUGGCCGUGUCUUCGCCCUGGCCCUCCAUGUGUGGCCGUGCCAUGGCGCCUCGAUAGAACAGCGAGGAUGAGAUCAGGUUAGGGAAGCAACAAAUGGAAGAAGUAGAGGAGGAACCACCACGGAUCGGCGUACCGGGGCUUCUGGCGUUGCAGAUCAGUGUACCUUUUCUAAUAUGGAAUCUUAUGGAGCUCUAGGUGGUUAGACCAAUACUCAUCCAGGAUAAGAAACCGUUCAUGUGCUCUACCAAGAGCAUAUGCCGGGAUAAGAACACGCCCCCCUUGAGAAACAGUGUUGUGGAUGGCAUCAGUGAAGCGCUUUUCUCUGACAUGGCGGGGUUGGUGUUGCUGCACGCCAUAAGUUGACUCAAUAAUGCAAAUAUCAGGGGAGAAUUGGGGGAUCUCAGCAGCUUUUAGGUGCCGGUCUUCUUCACGGGAGUAGUCACCGGUGUAAAGAAUGCGAACACCGGCAAUAUCCACCAUGAACAUGGCAGCACCAAGUACAUGGCCAGCAGUAUAGCACCAGAAGCGUAUGCCAUUAACUUCAAGUGUUUGGUGGAAGUCUAUGACCUGCAUCACAAUUAUAUAUUAAUACAAUGUCCAUUCUCCCUGUGGACUUUCAAUCCUCACAAGCAGAAUCAGGCCUCAGCUGUAAAGGUAAAAAAUCCUGCUAUUUCGAAGCAAUGCCCAGAUAAUAUAGGGUUCUUAAAUCUUAAUUUUACCAACAGCACAGCGACUUUUAAAUGUUUUGACAAUUCAGAAUUAAUACUGACACAUAAGCGCUCAAAAGGCGGGAAGCAGGAGCUAGCUAGAUGGGGGGGACUGAAUCUAAGUUCACUUUAAAAUAUUACCCAAGCAUGUAAUAUAUAUGUAGGCAACAACUCCAUGUACCUAAAGAACAGAGUUUGACUGAAUUUGUAGGAAAAACUAUCAAGAACUACGAUACCAAAUUAAUAUCAUUGGAUACGCAACAAAAAUAUAUAUUCUUAUUAAUGUAGUUGUUGAUGGUUUUUCCUACAAACAUGAUCAAACUAUGCACCAUUUGACUUCAGACAACAUUUGUAUGCCUUCUUUUCAGAGACAGGGGGAGUAGUAUCUUUAUUUGUUCUUCUUUUUCUUCUCUAAAUAUAGUGUUUCCAGUUUUCUACCGACCAGGCUUUAUCAAUCAUCAUCGUAUUGGCUACAGGCAUUCCAUACCAAACCAAAUGGGUCUAGUCGUUCACAUUUACACAUGCCCGAAACAACGAGAUAAGCAAAAAUAAGGUACUGUACCUCGAUCUUGUCCAUGGAACGGAUGAUGUCCUGCUCGUCAAACAGCAUGUCCUCCACCGACACCUUGCUGACCUUGACGUAAUCCGAGAGCAGCAGCCUGUAGAUGGCCUUGGUGGCGUGGGUCAUGAACACGCGGCCCUUGAACGUCGUCUCCAAACAAAAACAGAGCAAAUUCAGGUACCAAACAGCAUAAGAACAUCGACCUCCGACGCGUAUUACCUACCUACCUUCUCGAGGAAGUAGGGCAGCGAGGCGGCGUGGUCCAAGUGGAAGCUGCAAUUCCAAUCCAAGGCCGGAAAUUAGGCGUUAGGAACGCAGAUAUGCGCAGGUGGGGAUGGAGGCGCGGUUGCUUACUGGGUGACGAGGAGGACGUCGAUGGCGGAGGGGUCGAUCUCGUCAAAGUAGGGCAGCGCCGCCAUGCCGGAGUAGGCCGGGUGGAUGCCGCAGUCGAACCGGGCACCAGCGAAGAGUCAGUCAGUCGGAUUCCCCCAACAAGAUCCAAGUGGAAGNNNNNNNNNNNNNNNNNNNNNNNNNNNNNNNNNNNNNNNNNNNNNNNNNNNNNNNNNNNNNNNNNNNNNNNNNNNNNNNNNNNNNNNNNNNNNNNNNNNNNNNNNNNNNNNNNNNNNNNNNNNNNNNNNNNNNNNNNNNNNNNNNNNNNNNNNNNNNNNNNNNNNNNNNNNNNNNNNNNNNNNNNNNNNNNNNNNNNNNNNNNNNNNNNNNNNNNNNNNNNNNNNNNNNNNNNNNNNNNUAUGCGCAGGUGGGGAUGGAGGCGCGGUUGCUUACUGGGUGACGAGGAGGACGUCGAUGGUGGAGGGGUCGAUCUCAUCAGAGUAGGGCAGCGCCGCCAUGUCGGAGUAGGCCGGGUGGAUGCCGCAGUCGAACUGGGCACCAGCGAAGAGCCAGUCAGUCGGAUUCCUCCAACAAGAACAAGGAGAGCUAAGCGGGCAGAGAGAGGAGGGGUUUGGAUGCGAACCAGGACGGUGCGGCCCUUGAAGUUGCCGAAGAUGGCGGAGUGGUAGACGAUGAAGGGGCGGAGGAGCGCGGCCGGCAGUUCGUCGACGCGCGCGGCGAUGCGGCGGCGGAAGGGAAAGGGGCAGAUGAAGUGAGUGGAGUGAGGAGUGAAAGGAUAAGGUGAAUGGGGCGGGGUAGGUGGCCACGAGUUAUGCGGGAGGCGGGGGAGGUGUGCCGUGGCGCUAGGGAGGUGGGCCGUCGCGCGGGGGAGGUGUACUGUCGCGUGGGGAGGUGGGCCGUCGCCUUGAUGCACUUGUGCUGGGCCUGGCCCAGCUUGUUCUGGCCCUGUGUAAUACUGUGGAUAAAAAUCAACUGUGCAUAUAUAAUAAAAACUAUACAUACCUCACAAAAUCAAUAAAGGUGAAUAAUAAUAUACAUGGUUCAUACUAAUAUACAUUUUUUAUACUUACUAAAUAAACCAAGGCCAUCACAAAAAAAUAAGAGGGGGUAAAUAAUAGAAAACACAAAUAUACUUUGUUAAAGAAGGUUUGUUUGCAUGUUAUAUUUUCUUUUGUUGGACAGAUUUCCACAGCCUACAUAAAUAAUUUAAAUAAUUUUCAAAUGAUUACUUACUUAUAUAAGAACAUUAUAUUUAGUUGUUUUUCCCGAAUUUUCAUGUGGUAGGACAUUCAUUUAAUGGUAAUGUAUUUAUAAUAAUACCAAUUAGGUUUCUUUUUUGCAUACAAAUAGUUGUGUCAGUUUCACUUUUACUUUUAUUAUAUAUUAUAUAUAAUUAUAUGCUGUACUAGGAAAUAUUAUUUUUAUUUCAUCAUGGUAUAGUUGUUAUUAGUGCUGUGAUGAAAAUUUUUAAAUUAUUUUUAUACCUCACAAAAUAACAUGUAUAUUUACAUUAUACAUACCUAACAAAAUGUACAAAUUUUACAAAAGAGUAGGAAAAACAAAUAUACUUUGUUAAUGUUGGUUUGUUUGUUUUAGUUUUUGUUUGACAAUUUUCGCUAUGCUAUACAAUUAAUUAAAAAUAAUUUAAGCAAUUUCAGACCCCUACUUACUUAUAUAUAAACAUUAUAGUUUGUUGUUUUCCCCAAAAUGUUGUGUUAGUAAAAUGAUUUUUAAUAUUUAUUUUUCUAAUAAAAUCAAAUGCCUUUUCUUUAGCAGAUAAAUCAUUUGUGUUGGUUUCACAUUCAGUUUUAUUAUAUAUUUUAAAUAAUAUUAUGAUGCAGUAAAAAUUAUUAAUUAUAUUUUACCAUAGAUAUAAAUUGAUGGGUUCCGACAUACGCACUGAUGCAACGAUGACAGAACACGCUGAAACACCACGAGAAGAGGUGCGUAUAGCUAAACUUUCUUUGUACGUAUCUUAUAGAUGAUAAUACAGAAGGUCUAAUUUUGUAUUUUUGUUAUUUUAGAUUACAGAAGUCAUGGAUAUUGACUUUGGAGAUGCACGGAAAGAAUACAUUGAUGGUUCAGAUGCGAUGUCGCUGAAAGGGGACGAAAAUUCACAACAUAAAAAUGUCGACGAGGUUAUAUGUCAUAACAAACCCAAAAAGGAUGCCAAUUUACAUGUUCUCCCACAAGGUUUUUUUAUAUCAUUAUCAAUUAUUUUUUUGUGAUAUUUCCUUUUGUAUUCAACUAAUUUUGCUCAUUUUGAUUGCUAAGUUGGCUCGCUUUAUUACCAUUUCGACAGACUAUGUUUGUACCCUUAGAGAUGUUACAGUCAUCGAAUCAAUCAAGUCUUCCCCAAGAAUACCCAGUUUGUGGACAUUGGAGAUGCCUUGUUAUCAACCGACGAGUUGGAAUGCCUUAUGAAAGAUGAUAUGUUCUUACAUGAUGGUGUAAGACCAAAUGCACAAACUUUGUAAUUAAUAAUUUGAACAAAAUAUAAUAUCAUAAAUUGUAAAUAUAAUGUAAAUGUUGAUUACAGGUGAUAAAUGCUUACAUAUAUUGCAUGCUUGCUCACGGCCAUCUAAAAGUCAGGGCGGGCGAAAAGGUAGAAAUUGUUAGCACGUUUGUAUCUGGCCAGAUAAAAGAAGACGGGGAAAGAAACAUAGACCCAUCAAAAUAUCACCGCAUCGUGCAUCAUGUCAAUACUUACCUACAACAAGAUAUGGUUAGUUUUUGUCUCGUUAUCUAUGCAUAUAAUUAUGGAUUGUUUUUAUUUAAUUCAAAGUUAUAAUGAAUUAUUAAUAUUUAUAUCUAAUUGCGAUCGUGACUUGUAUGAUAUUUACACCAGUUAUUCAUUCCGAUUAACAUGUCGGGCUACCAUUGGUAUCUAGCAGUCGCCAAUGCCAAAAAACGUGAGAUUCAAGUAUUGGACUCACUUGGUUCUAGGGUCAAACGCAAUGACCUUGCUACUACGGUAGGUAUAUAUUUUUUUACUCAUCUUAACAUAUGUUUUGUUUGCCUUGUUCCCUAAUAUUUCUCAUAUAUAAAAUAGUUACUAGGACUUGAGAAGCGUCUAAAACUUGUAGAGCAUAGUCCGGAGUUUAUCAGAGGUCAUAAGUGGCCCGAUCUUAAUGUUACAAAAUGGACGGUUGUAGAGCAGUUUCAUGAGGCAAUACAAACCGACGGGUAAGCACAUGUUACAAUGUUUUAUUUAUUUGAUUUAUCUGUGUGGUAUUUUAAAGGAUUGUUUUAUAAUAUUAUAGCGUAUCAUGUGGAUUGUUCAUGUUAAAUUAUAUGGAAUAUUGGACAUCACAUGGACUGUCAGACACGCUCACCCAGGUAUUCCAUUUUUAUACAUUAUCUCGUUAUUUUAUCUCAAAACAUUAUAUAAAUUUAUUUAUAUAUAUUUUGUAGGAGGAUAUGGAACAUUUUAGGAAAAAAUUGGCUGUCAUUUUGCUCUAUUCAGAGUUGAAUAAGCUAAAAGGAGAUCCCAUAUACCAUCAACCUGACGAUGAAGAAACUUUAGCUAAUUCUGAUAUCGAGAUCCUGGAGAAUCCAUCAGACGUAGUCAAAGACAAACGUCCUGCCCCAAUCACUAUCAUACCCACGGACCAACGUGAAUUACUUGCCGGCCUCUGCAACUACAUCAUGUCUAUCGAUGAUGCUGGGUGUUUGGAGUAAGUAUCAUGCAUCAGUAUUUAAUGUGCGGAUUUAUAAUAUUAUUAUUCUUAUCAUCCAAUUUAUAGGAAGGUAUGGGUCCGGAGCUCGACACCUGAUCCAAUGGGCUUAAGUCUUAAGAAACUUCAGUGCAUACUUAACAUGGAGCAGACCAUGGACAAUGACUGCUUCAACACAGCCGUGCGUAUGCUGGCAUGUGACAAGGGAGUAUUGUUCACAUACCCUCCUGUGCACUACAUGGAUCUACGAUUUUGUGUAAAUUAUCUUAACUCUUCAUUCUAUGUGUCAUUAUUAUCAACAUGUUGAAACAAUAUUUCUUUUUUUACUUAGUCCAUGAUGCUAGAGUCAACACGAGGUCAGAAGUUUUGCGAGAAGGAAACUAUUCAGAGUUUGGCAACAUUAUUUGAUAGCUGGCCUAAGAUGGACAACGACAUCUCAUCGUGCAACAAGGUAAGUAAAUUAUUUUGUCAAUUGUUAUCAUGGUUUAUUGUUGUUUCUAAUACCUGCACUUGUAGAUUUAUCUUCCCUAUGCAUCCAUCGGCCGAUACAUUUUGUACGUCAUCGACAAAGAAGCAUGUCGUCUAUAUAUUAUGGAUCCUAUUCAAACAUCACAAUCGUUAGAGGAGAAAAAUUUGAGACAUGCACUGAAAUUAAAAAGUUUUGCAAGGGAUUUCAAAGAAGCACUCGAAAUUAAGCUGCCUGGUUGGAAUUAUGAUCUAUCUAAAUGGCAACGUUUAUUUCCGUCCGGUGUUCCAACGAGUAUCGAUGGGUAAUGAAUUCAUAACAAAAACAUUUACUUUUGUUAUUACUAUAUUCUUUACAUUGUUAAUUUAAUGUUUUACAGGAAUUUGUCUGGCUAUUUUGUUUUUCAUUUUAUGCUCUGGUGGAACGGUGAAGAUUUGGUCAAGCCGAUUUGCGCAUUGAGUAUUGUCCGUUACAUGUUUUAAGACCUUCGGCAUGAAAUUUUCAUACUAACUACAUGUAUGCGUUUGUGCAGGAUGGGUAUGAAUUGAGGAAGCAGUUUUUGUUAUACUUGCUAAAACAUCGUGGGAAUGAGGCUAAAGGAAACUUACCGGAUAUUGUGCAAGAAUUUCUUAAGCGCAUCAUCUAGAUAUUAAUAGCUUUGUAAUAGAUGUUUAGUUGGAACAUCGCUCAGUUUGUUACAUGGACAUGUCUUUAAUUUUUCUUAUGUUAUCAAUUUACAUUGCAAAAAUAAAGUUCAGUUAUUAAAUAAUUAUGUUUCUAUUAUAUUGUUUGUACGUGUGGAAUUUAACAUGUAACUCCUGCGAACUUUUUCAAGAGCCCGUGGCAACGCACGGGCACUCUACUAGUAUAAAUAAAGAAUGAGUUCAUUACAGUACCUUGAAGUAGUCUUUUGUUUUCUUUCUCUAACGGAGCUCACGAGAUUUCUGUUGAGUUUUGUGUUGUGAAGUUUUCAAGUUUUGGGUGAAUUCUUUUGAUGGAUUAUGGAACAAGGAGUGGCAAGAGCUUAAGCUUGGGGAUGCCCAUGGCACCCCCAAGAUAAUCCAAGGACACCAAAAAGUCAAAGCUUGGGGAUGCCCCGGAAGGCAUCCCCUCUUUCGUCCACUUUCAUCGGUAAUUUACUUGGAGCUAUAUUUUUAUUCACCAACAUGAUAUGUCUUUUGCUUGGAGCAUCUUGUAUUAUUUGUGUCUUUGCUUGUUAGUCUACCACAAUCAUCCUUGCUGUACACACCUUUUGAGAGAGCCAUACAUGAUUUGGAAUUUGUUAGAAUACUCUAUGUGCUUUACUUAUAUCUUUUGAGCUUGAUAGAUUCGCUCAUAGUGCUUCACUUAUAUCUUUUGGGCGUGAUAAUUUUUGCUCUAGUGCUUCACUUAGAUCUUUUAGAGCACGGUGGUGGAUUUGUUUUAAAGAAACUAUUGAUCUCUCAUGCUUCACUUAGAUUAUUUUGAUAGUCGUUAAUAGCAUGGUAAUUUGCUUGAUGUUAAUAUACUUGGUGUUCAAGAUAUGUGAAACCUUCUUUUGAGUGCGUUGAAUACUAAGAUAAGUUUGAUGCUUGAUAAUUGUUUUGAGAUAUGGAGAUGAUAAUAUCAAAGUCGAGCUAGUUGGGUGAUUAUGAAUUUGAGAAAUACUUGUGUUGAAGUUUACAAGUCCCGUAGCAUGCACGUAUGGUUAAAGUUGUGUAACAAAUUUGAAACAUGAAGUGUACCUGGCUUGUGCAUCCUCAUGAGUGGCGGUCGGGGACGAGCGAUGGUCUUUUCCUACCAAUCUAUCCCCCUAGGAGCAUGCGCGUAGUACUUGAAUUUUUGAUGGAUUCUAUAUGUUUGCAAUAAGUAUAUGAGUUCUUUUGACUAAUGUUGAGUCCAUGGAUUAUACGCACUCUUACCUUUCCGCCUUUGCUAGCCUCUUCGGUACCGUGCAUUGCCCUUUCUCACCUUGAGAGUUGGCGCAAACUUCGCCGAUGCAUCCAAACCCCGUGAUACCAUAUACUCUAUCACACAUAAACCUCCUUAUAUCUUCCUCAAAACAGCCACCAUACCUACCUAUCAUGGCAUUUUCAUAGCCAUUCCGAGAUAUAUUGCCAUCCAACUUCCACCAUCAUCAUGACAUACAUUACUUUUGUCAUAUUGCCAUUGCAUAUCAUGUAGUUGACAUCGUAUUUGUGGCAAAGCCACCAUGCAUUAUUUUCCAUACAUGUCACUAUUGAUUCAUUGCACCAUCCCGGUACACCACCGGAGGCAUUCAUAUAGAGUCAUAUCUUGUUCUAAGUUUCGAGUUGUAAUCCUUAUGUUGUAAUCAAUAGAAGUGUGAUGAUCAUCAUUAUUAGAGCAUUGCCCAAAUAAAAAAAGAGAAAGGCCAAAAAAAGGUCCAAAAAAAGAAUAUAAAAAGGGCAAUGCUACUAUCUCUUUUUCCACACUUGUGCUUCAAAGUAGCACCUAGUUCUUCAUGUAGUCUCAUAUCUUGUGCUUCAAAGUAGCACCUUGUUCUUCAUGUAGUGAGUCUCAUAUAUUGUGCUUCAAAGUAGCACCUUGUUCCUCAUGUAGUGAGUCUCAUAAGUUGUCUUUUCAUACUAGUGGGAAUUUUUCAUUAUAGAACUUGGCUUGUAUAUUCCUACGAUGGGCUUCCUCAAAUGCCCUAGGUCUUCGUGAGCAAGCGAGUUGGAUGCACACCCACCAGUUUUAUUUUGUUGAGCAUUCAUAGCUCUAGUGCAUCCGUUGCAUGGCAAUCCCUACUCCUCAUGUUGACAUCAAUUGAUGGGCAUCUCCAUAGCCCGUUGAUUAUCCUCGUCAAUGUGAGACUUUCUCCUUUUUUGUCUUCUCCACACAAUCCCCAUCAUCUUAUUCUAUUCCACCCAUAGUGCUAUAUCCAUGGCUCACGCUCAUGUAUUGGGUGAAGGUUGAAAAAGUUGGAGAUUAUUUAAGUAUGAAACAAUUGCUUGGCUUGUCAUCGGGGGUAUAGAAGUUGGGAACAUCUUUGUGUUAUGAAAAUGAAGCAUAGCCUAACUAUAUGAUUUUGUAGGGAUGAACUUUCUUUUGCCAUGUUAUGUUGAGAAGACAUGAUUGCUUUGCUUAGUAUGCUUAAAGUAUUAUUAUUUUUGCGUCAAUAUGAACUUUUGUCUUGAAUCUUUCGGAUCUGAAUAUUCAUAUCACAAUUAAGAAGAUUUACAUUGAAAUUAUGCCAAAGUAUCACUCCGCAUAAAAAAUUCUUUUUUAUCAUUUACCUACUCGAGGACGAGCUGGAAUUAAGCUUGGGGAUGCCUGAUACAUUUCCAACGUAUCCAUAAUUUUUGAUUGCUCCAUGCUACUUUAUCUACUAUUUUGGACUAUAUUGGGCUUUAUUUUCCACUUUUAUAUUACUUUUGGGACUAACCUAUUAACCGGAAGCCCAGCCCAGAAUUGAUGUUUUUUGCCUAUUUUAGUGUUUCGAAGAAACAGAAUAUCAAACGGAGUCCAAACGGAAUGAAACCUUCGGGAUCGUGAUUUUCCAACCGAACGUGAUCCUGGAGACUUGGACCCUACUCCAAGAAGUGUCCGAGGAGGUCACGAGGGUGGAGGGCGCGCCCCCCUACCUCGUGGGCCCCUUGAAGCUCCACCGACGUACUCCUUCCUCCUAUAUAUACCUACGUAUCCCCGAACGAUCAGAACAGGAGCCAAAAACCUAAUUCCACCGCCGCAACCUUCUGUAUCCACAAGAUCCCAUCUUGGGGCCUGUUCCGGAGCUCCGCCGGAGGGGGCAUCCACCACGGAGGGCUUCUACAUCAUCACCAUAGCCCCUCCGAUGAACUAUGAGUAGUUUACUUCAGACCUUCGGGUCCAUAGCUAGUAGCUAGAUGGCUUCUUCUCUCUUUUUGGAUCUCAAUACAAUGUUCUCCCCCUCUCUCGUGGAGAUCUAUUCGAUGUAAUCUUCUUUUCUCGGUGUGUUUGUUGAGACCGAUGAAUUGUGGGUUUAUGAUCCAGUAUUAUCUAUGGAAAAUAUUUGAUUCUUCUCUGAAUUCUUUUAUGUAUGAUUGAGUUAUCUUUGCAAGUCUCUUCGAAUUAUCUUUUUUGGUUUGGCCAACUAGAUUGGUAGUUCUUGCAAUGGGAGAAGUGCUUAGCUUUGGGUUCAAUCUUGCGGUGUCCUUACCCAGUGACAGAAGGGGCAGCAAGGCAUGUAUUGUAUUGUUGCCAUCGAGGAUAACAAGAUGGGGUUUUUAUCAUAUUGCAUGAAUUUAUCCCUCUACAUCAUGUCAUCUUGCUUACGGCGUUACUCUGUUUUUAACUUAAUACUCUAGAUGCAUGCUGUAUAGCGGUCGAUGAGUGGAGUAAUAGUAGUAGAUGCAGAAUCGUUUCGAUCUACUUGUUUUGGACGUGAUGCCUAUAUACAUGAUCAUUGCCUACAUAUACUCAUAACUAUGCUCAAUUCUGUCAAUUGCUCAACAGUAAUUUGUUCACCCACCAUAGAAUACUUAUGCUCUUGAGAGAAGCCACUAGUGAAACCUAUGGCCCCCGGGUCUAUUCUCAUCAUAUCAAUCCCUAUCACUUUAUUUACUUGCUUUGUUUUUACUUUGCCUUUUACUUUUUACUUUGCAUCUAUCUAUCAAAAAUACCAAAAAUAUUAUCUCUAUCAGAUCUCACUCUCGUAAGUGACCGUGAAGGGAUUGACAACCCCUAAGCGUUGGUUGCGAGUUGCUAUCGUUUUGUGUAGGUACGAGGGACUUGUGCGUGGUCUCCUACUGGAUUGAUACCUUGGUUCUCAAAAACUGAGGGAAAUACUUACGCUACUUUGCUGUGUCAUCUUCUCCUCUUCGGGGAAAUCCAACGCAGUGCUCAAGAGGUAGCACCGUCCGAGGGCUGGAUGGCGAUGGCGGCGUCGGAGGAAGAGCUCGAAGACGAGGCGGUAGGACGUCAAUACGCGACGAAGGCGUCGGUGCCCGCGUACUCCGACUUGACGGCCUUGCCGCCCGCCGCCCUCCUCUUCCGCAGCCUCCCAAUGACAGCCGCCCAAGGAGACAACCCCGAGAAGUUCAAGCAGCCGGCGACACAUAUGAUGGGGUCGCCGGUGCGGCUUAGAGCGGCGCCCGACGCCUAGUCGGACCCGUCAUCCUGCCGCCCGCUGGCCUCGUCAUCGCUGCCGUUGUCUUCCUCGCCACUCUCGCUCGAGGAGGAAUCUUCAACAUCAGAAGAGCUCUCCACACAGCACCUUACGCGAGUCCCAAAGUGUCCGAAGAUCUUGACGGAGAGGAGGCUACUCUCCAUUAGUUUGAAAUGGAGAGUGAGCCCCUCUGUCAAGCUGUGGAGGCGAGCGAAGGUCUUCCACCCUCGGUGGAGAUACAUGACGUGAGGGGCGGGGAACUCGACGUCGGCCCAUGUGCCACUGUUCCCACAACCCCUCAUGUGCAGCCGCAACACCUGCGGCGGAUCCAGCUCCAUCUCCCGCGCAAAUGGAGUCGGGAGGCGAAGGCGAUGACGCGGUGGCUAGCGCAGCCUGAUGAAGAAUUUGCAAGGGUUGUCCCCGGCGUGGCCCUCCACGGAGGAGGGGCUGUUGGCGGAGGCGAGGCUGAUCUGCCGCCCCGUCCUCCUCUCCCUGGAGCACCACGACGGCCUUGACCUCGACCUAGCCUCGUCCCCCUUCCUCUAGCGGCUGGCUCCGCCGCUACGAGCUCUUGGGGAGGAGCGAUACGCUGUCUGGCCAAAACCCUCGCCGCCACCGAUGAAGCGUCGCCAUGCCCCCUCGCCAUGACAGAAGAAAGGAGGAAGCAGGAAUGGGGAGAGGCAGGUGGUGAAGGGUUGAGAGGCACCGUCCCUCCCCUCCCCUCAAUAUAAAGGGGCGGGGGCGAGGCUCGGCCGCCCCCUCUCGGCCAAUCCGGCCCAUUGAAGUGAUAGCGAGCGGGGCCGUCGACCGCCCUCCCCGCUCCAUUGAAGGUGCGUGGGAAUCGACCCAUGUGCGCGCACAACUUCUCACAUACCGCGUGCCUGUCAUUCGCCCUGCGUCGUGCAUGCAACGAGCGUGGCGCGAGGGAUAGGUGUAGUGGGACGCGUGGAGCGACGGUUCCCAAGAGAGGGCAAUAAAUGAGCGGCGGCCCUGCGGCUUCAAGGAGACAUGCAAGCCGCCUCUUUACUGUCCGCCAUGGGAUGACACCAGCAUGCUUCCAUCAUGCGCGCGCACGACCCCCACGUCGUGCAUUCAACGCGGGUCGUAGGGAAGCGCAGCGGACGGAGCAGUUACCGCCAUAAAAAUCUGCCCCAACUGCCCGCGCACCAUUCUGGGCCUGGCCCAACAACGUGCUGCGCUUAUGUAUGGCCCAGGCCCGGGGGCUCCUGUCGGUGUACAAAAGUAGGGGCUCUCCUUUUGACCCCUUUACUUGUGCACGGGCAGUCAGAGCCACCCGCCAUGGCCAUGCAUAACAGGGCAGGAAAGGGAAGCCGGAGAGAAGCCGAAGGCACAAGACAAACAAAGCAACGACAAGGACCAAGGCCACAAAGAUUGGAUGGACGAAGCAGGUUUCCCCGGCAAGGACCCUUGCCAAGGCAGCCUCAGCAGCCCCGGCAAGACCCUUGCCGGGGGAGCUCGCCUCCACCAGCCGAGCGAGACACCUUUGAGCCCACCAACGCUAGACAAACGCAUUGGGACAUGGCUCGGGAGGCACCUCCGUGGUGGCAUGCAGAUCUUUGUGAAGACAAAGAAUAGUCAAGAUCAAAUGAGGAUAGAAAUGCAACAAUCCUCACCAAGAUCCUCACCGAAGAAACCCACAAGACCCCCGGCAAGAUCCUUACCAAGGACGCCAGCGCGCCACGGCAAGACCCUUGCCGGGCCACCCGACAAGACCCUCGCCAAGCAUGCCAGCAGGGCCACUGCCAGGCCCACGCCAUCCAAGUCUCCGCCACCGUUCGCAUGCAGCUGCCGACCCAACCAGCUGGGCAAGCACCUACGUGGCAACAUGCAGCCCUUCAUGGAGGCUCCACCACCGUGCCACCUCAGCUGCCUGCCUGCCUACAUGGCACCGCAUGCAUCGCUAGCCAGGGUGCAUGUCAAAGCAAGGAGGAGUGGCGACGGACGGGGCGGGCCUUGCUCCUGUCCCCGAUAAAGUGAGGGACACCUAAGCCUCGCAUUAAAUGCACUUUGUCCUGUAAUACCAGCGAUAAGCUCACAACGCUGUAGCACUUUCCACCUUCUGUGUGCCACUGUGGCAGCCCCUUUCGCCUAUAAAAGGAGGCCCAUGGUGCACUGGAGAAGGAUUCGGCUCUUUCGAACCUAGCAGCACCCAGAGCUGGUUCAAGAGCUCAAGAACACUAAAUACAUCCACCAAAGCAGGAUCGUAGGGUUUUACGCAUCUUUGCGGCCCGAACCUGGGUAAACCCCCUUUGUGCUGUCUACUAGUCCCGCUCUUCUCACGAUCCCCGCGCCCCGCAACCGUAGUAGGGAUUCCAGUGAUCCCAUAGGUGUCGUUUCCCACCGAUGGAGGUCCUUGAAAUCGACACAUAGGCGCCAGGAUUGUCCUUCUUUGGUACCAUCACCAGGUUUGCUAGCCAGUCUGGGUGUUUUAUUUCUCUGAUGAAUCCGGCUUCGAGUAACUUGGCUAGCUCCUCUCCCAUGGGUUGUCGUUUAGGUUCUGAAAAAUGCCGAAGAGUCUGCUUGACCGGCUUGUAUCCCUUUAGUAUGUUUAGGCUAUGCUCGGCCAGCCUGCGUGGGAUACCUGGAAUGUCUGAAGAGUGCCAGGCGAAGAUGUCCCAAUUCUCGCGCAAGAACGCCCGCAAUGCGGCGUCUAUUGUGGGGUUCAGUUGUGCCCCGAUGGAUGUUGUUUUUGUAGAGUCCAUUGGGUGGACUUGGAAUUUGACUAUUUUAUCCGCUGGUUUGAAAGAGGUGGACUUUGAUCGUUUGUCGAGUAUCACGUCGUCCCUGUCCACUGUGGAGCGCAGCGCAGUUAGUUCUUCGGUCGCGAGGGCUUCGGAUAAUGCCUCAAGGGCCAGGGCGGCGGUUUUGUUUUCGGUGCGGAGUGCUACGUCCGGAUCACUGGCUAGAGUGAUGAUUCCAUUGGGCCCGGGCAUCUUGAGCUUCACGUGCCCAUAAUGGGGUAUAGCUUGGAAGCUCGUGAAUGCAUCCCGCCCUAAAAGGGCAUGGUAUCCGCUACUGAAUGGGGCCACUUGGAAUGUGAUUUCUUCGGACCUGUAAUUCUCCGGUGUGCCAAAUACCACAUCUAGUGUGAUUUUUCCCGCACAUCGUGCCUCCCGACUAGGGAUAAUUUCUCUGAAGGUCGUGUUGCUUUGCUCAAUGCGGCUCUUGUCUAUUUCCAUUUUGUUGAGGGUUUCCUUGUAGAUGAGGUUUAAUCCGCUGCCACCGUCCAUGAGCACUUUAGUAAGCCGGAAGCCGUCCACAAUUAGACUAAGGACCAAAGCGGCUGGUGCUCGGACUGCUCGGAAUUGAGGUUCAUCACUGGCAUUGAAGGUUAUGGUCGUGUUGUUCCAUGGAUUUAUUUCUGCAACAUGGCAGACUUCGGCGAGGCUGCUGAGUGCUCUCUUACGCCUGUUAUUUGAGGCGAAAGUCUUGAAGACUGUCAAUAUUGUAUAGUUGUUUUCUGCGGGAUGAUGCUCUGCGGUAUCGUUCAUGAGGAGAUCCUCGCCGCUCUUGGCCACCUGCCGAAGUAUCCAACAUGCUCUAAGGCUGUGUGUUGGUAUGGUAUCCGGUGUGCUGUGAAUUUUGCAUGGCCAUUGAGCCAUCCCUCCAAUACGGUUCCACGCCCUGUAGUGGGCUUUGGUUUCUUUGUGAUUGGAUCAGGUGACUUGCGAGAGUGCACCAUUUUAGUUCGGACAAGGGGUUUAGUGAGAGUCGGAGGAUCCCAGAAUUUUGCUUGGGUUUUCCAGGCGCUUUCCAUCGCACAGUAAUUCUGUACUAUGGACGCCAAGUCAGUGAAGUGUGCUAUGUCACGGUGACUUAUAGUGUUGAGGAUUCCCUUGUCCGUGCAAUUUUUGCAAAAGAAUGAGAUUGUGUCUUCCUCGCGACAGUCCUUGACCUUGCUCAUUACAAGGAGGAAUCUGGCCCAAAAGUGAUGUACUGUUUCUUGGGAUUGUUGUCUAAUGUGGGAAAGAUCGCUUGUAUCUGGGUGGGUGGGUGGAUUUAAGUCCGAACCCUGACCCGAUCCGAGACCCAGGGGCAAAGGAGCUUCCGAACCUGGCAGUUCGGGUUCCGGGAUGUUGCCUAAUUUUUCUCGCCCGCUGUCUGAUUCUAAGUUCGGAGUUCGGGUCAUGUCCUCCCGCAGACGGGUAUCCGGCUUGGAGAGCUCGGGAAUCUGGACAUAGUUCGUCCUCAAAAUAUUGGAAGAAUCACUGCAUUGCUCCUCCACCACCGCUAUCUGAUGGGUGACCGGCAGAGAGUUAAUCUCUCUUUGAUCGGGUUUAAGCCCAAGCCGAUCAUAGUCCGUAGCGACUCCCAAGGCGGUGAUGCAAUCCAAGAGCUCGUUCAAGGACGAGAUCUCCAUUGGAUCCAUCUGCUCGGUGUAUUCCGAGCUGGCGUGGAUGCUAUUUUUGAUUACCCGAGAAGUCAUUGUCGGCGCGGCGGCCGAACGGGCGGUCAUGACGAAGCCGCCUAGUCGGAGGGUUUGGCCUAAAGCCAGGGCUCCCCCAGAGGUGAUGUUGUCCUUUAUAACAAGGCGAGCCAUCAAGCCUUAUUGUGACGGCACAGUGGAACUCUCAGUGAAAGCACCAAUGUCGGUGUCAAAACCGACGGAUCUCGGGUAGGGUGUCCCGAACUAUGCGUCUAAGGCUAAUGGUAACAGGAGGUGGGAGACACAAUGUUUACCCAGGUUCGGGCCCUCUCUAUGGAGGUAAUACCCUACUUCCUGCUUGAUUGAUCUUGAUGAUAUGAGUAUUACAAGAGUUGAUCUACCACAUGAUCGUAGAGGCUAAACCCUAGAAGCUAGCCUAUGAUUAUGAUUGUUCUUGUCCUACGGACUAAACCCUCCGGUUUAUAUAGACACCGGAGGGGGCUAGGGUUACACAGAGUCAGUUACAGAGAAGGAAAUCUACAUAUCCGAAUUGCCAAGCUUGACUUCCACGCAGAGAGUCCCACCUGGACACGGGACGAAGUCUUCAAUCUUGUAUCUUCAUAGCCCAACAGUCCGGCACAAGUACGUAGUCCGGCUGUCCGAGGACCCCCUAAUCCAGGACUCCCUCAGCGAGAGCUGGUCAACCACUCGAUGACUCAUCGGAAUCUUCGCGAUUCCCUCCAUAUUAAACGAAGGACCGUUACUCUGGUCACGUAUGUAAACGCACUGUAUUCGGAUAACCGCGGACAUACCAGGGACUAUAUAGUAGCCCCACCGUCAAACUCCUCUGGCUAAGUGAAAGUGCUGCCUAAUUCGCCGCACUAACACCUCCUUAACGGACCAAGACGUUGGGUCAAGUGUGAUCAAGCGCUUUUCCGAACACCCCGGCGUUAUACGCGAGGGGGCUGAAGCCGACGACUGCAAACUUUCAGAUUGUAUAGGCAAUAAAACUUUUCGGGCAAAAAGUAUAAAAACAUAGCCUUAAAUAUAUGAUAAUAUUGUUAUUACAAUUUUGAUGCACCUCACUCGAACAUUUUAUUCUUCGAGCACUGGCCCUCUAUUAAGUGGGCACCCUCUAGGACAUCUUCAAAGUAAUGUUCUAGCAUGUUAAGGUCCUUGCCCUCAGGUGGACUCUGCGCUGCAACAUCGGUGGCCUUCAUCUUCGCCCAGUAUAUCUUGACACGGGCAAGGGCCAUCCGUGCACCUUCAAUGCAUGUUAACCGCUUCACAGCGUCGAUACGUGGCACCGCAUUAACAAGUUGCUGCACCAAACCAAAAUAACUAUUUGGAAUGGGCUCAUUUGUCCACAUCCGGGCUAUGACGUCCUUCAUGGCAGUACCGGACAUCUUGUGGAGCUCAGCCCACUGGGCCAUCUGGUCGUUCAACAGUGGACUCUUUGGCAUGUCAAAUUGCAACCAAAGUAGCUUUUCCAUCGCAUGUCCUUCUCGCGCUUGGAAAAAUUGAUUCGCAUUAGCAGCACUCUUCGCCAGGUCCAUAAAGUCGUUCGGAGAACUCCAUAGUUGAUUAAGCGGCGCAUUCUUCGGAUCGCCAAACUUAGUUUGCAAUAAAACGGGCUUACCAGCCGCGAUCUCCCCAGCUUGUCGGAUCUCCUCCCGAGAUGCUCUGGACUCAGACCGAGCUUCCUUCGCCUCUUGUAAGGCCUUGUCAAGAUCGGCUGCUUUGGCUUUGUUAUCUUUCUCAAGAACUUGGCAUAGACUAGUGGCAUCCUUCAGCUCAAGUGCAAUAGUCGAUAUUCUCUCCUCGCACUGACGCCGAGCAGUCUACUCGGCUUUUAAUUCGGCGGCUACCUUUUCAGCAGCCGCAUUACUCAUCCUGGCUUGCUCCUUGGCCCAGGCAAGUUCGGCCCGAAGGGUCUCAACUGCGGCGGCACUAUUUGCAGUUAUACAUAUACAAAUUUUCAGUAUCACACUCAUUUCACAAUAUUAGCAUGUACUGAGUGCCCCAGAGACAUACCUUGCGCCUCGUCGAGCCGCCUGUUCAUAAGCGUGAUGUCAUCAUCCGCUACAUCAACUUUCUGCUUUAGAUGUGCUACCUCCGUAGCUUGGGCAGUUGCCAUGGAUGUAACAACAUGUGUUUCAAUUAGUCAGAUCAUCUCCUGGGCAUACAUUUUUGAUCCUCUAAUCGCAUCCCUUUGGAUGUCAACCAGAGUCUUAGGGGCUACUGUAUAUACACAGGUGCAAGUUGCACUUAUAAUAUAAUGGAAAUUACACUAUGUACCUCGAAGCCUCUUAGUAGGCUCGUGAGGGCUUCAUUCAAUCCACUUUUCGCGGACCGAAAUCUUUCAACCACCGUACCCAUCAAGGUACGGUGUUCCUCGGAGACGAAGUCAUGUUGCAAUAUGCCCAUCAGAGUAUCCGGCGUCUCUAGAUCCGGAACGAGAUGCGUCAUCCCUCCGACAUUGGAUAGUCCGGGACUUUUGUUGUUCCCCUUAGGGGCCGCAUUCCCCGGACCCUGGGCGGCCGAAGCAUUAUCUUCGGCCCCGGACUUCACUACCUCUUGCGCCACUCGUUGAUCGGGAAAGAUCCUCUGGGAUGACACCUCCGCGUCGUCUGCCUUACCAGGCAUGGAAAUCUGUGGAGGCGUCUCGCUCUCCAUCAUCUACGGAAGAAGAUCCCCCGAAGAGGAGGACUAUUGAGGAAGGCUGCGUGUCGGACUGCAAACAUGUGUUUAAAAUGUUACCCUUACAGCCAGGAAAGAACGGGAUAUGUGUAAAAUGCCCCGGUUCACUUACGAUCCGGCUAGGGGCUUAUCUUUACGGAGUGACUGCAUGUCACCAUCCUCCCCUGACUGGGAUGUCUUCCCCCGCUUUGAAGCUUCUCUCUUCAAGUCUUCGGAGGCGGUCUGCUUCUUCCCAUGAGGAGAAGGGAUGUCAGCUUGCCCUUCCCUUCCACUUUUGGAAGGGGAAGUUCCAAUCUCCUCGGACAAAUUGCCUGGUGUGUCUAUAGAAUGAAGGUCACCUUGGGCCUCUUCUCUCUCCUCCUUAUCUUCCCCCGCCGACACUUGAUAUGGCGCCGGAGCCAGCAUCCUUGUUAGCAUCGGAUCGGCAUAGUCUUUGGGAAGAGGAGUCAGACACCUGAUUCUCUCCGCCUUCUUUAGCCAACCCUGGCCGAGUGGAGUUUUAUCAAUACAUUGUUAUGAGUAAUCUAACUAAACUGUGUUCGGGAGUCAAGUACUUAUCGGAGUAUCCGGAUGAUUGCAGUCAAGACCAAGGUCUUCUGUUGUAUCCGGCCACUGUUUUCGUGCGCCGAAGAACAAUUUCCACAUCUCCCUGAGCAUUAUGUCAGAGAAGUGCUGAAGGGUCCGUGGACCUUCCGGAUUGAACUCCCACAUGCGGAGAGGACGCCUCUGGCACGGAAGAAUCCGACGGACUAGCAUUACUUGGACGAUAUUGGUGAGGCCGGUGCCCUUCUUAAUGAGGCUCCGAAUACGACUUUGCAAUGUCUGCACUUCAUCAAUGGAACCCCAGUCCAACCCCUUGUUGACCCAUGAUGCAAGCUGAAGCAGAGGGUCAGAUCGAAACGCAGGUACAGCUACCCGGUUUGUACCACGGGGUUCGGUAAUGUAAAACCACUCUCGUUGCCAUAGAUCAGAAGAUUCUGCGAAGGAGCCCUUCAGCCAGGGGGUAGUGGUAAGUUUGCUUAUUGAAGCACCUCUGCACUCCGCUUGUUUCCUGCCGAUUAUGUUCGGUUUGACGCUAAAGUUCUUGAGCCAUAAGCCGAAGUGUCGGGAGAUACGGAGGAAGGCCUCACACAUGGUGAUAAAUGCCGAGAUGUGGAGGAAGGAUUCUGGAGCUAGAUCAUGGAAACCUAGCACAUAAUAAAACAUAAGCCCUCGAACAAAGGGAUGGAGAGCAAACCCAAGCCCUCGGAGGAAGUGAGAGAUGAACAUGACCCUCUCACUGGAUCUGGGAGUAGGAAUAACCUGCCCUUGAGCAGGAAGCCUAUGGUAAAUUUCCGCGGUCAAGUAUCUUGCCUCCCUGAGCUUUGAGAUAUCUUCCUCUGUGAUAGAAGAGGCCAUCCAUCGGCCUUGAAGGCUAGAUCCGGACAUGGCUGGAGGCUCGGAGCGGCUGGAUUGACCCUUGAGUGUUAGAACUUAAGGUGGAAGGUAGAAGGAAGAACUAGCAUGGAAGAAAGAAGACAGGCCUUAACCCCUUUAUAAAGGCGACGAAUAUCAAGCGUCCCCUCCGUGGCCUUAAAACAUGCCUAUUCCCAAGGAAACGUGCCAACAGAAAGGUUGGGUUACCCACGCCUGUGUUGAUGGAAAUCCCGCAAUAAGGGGACACAAUCUCUUCUUUGAUAAGACGUGCCAAUAAAAACCGCCUCUCGGAACAUGGAGUGGCAGGUUAGAAAAUGAUUCAGAAUAAUGGUUGGGUGAUGACGUCAUGUCUUGCCACCAAGAUUGUCAGCGGUUUGGACUCGUGAAAUAUUAUAUUCUUUAUGGGUGCAUGAAUUCGUUUUGCAGAGCCGGACACGAUUCUUGUGUUCGGAAUUUACUUUGAAGUAUUCAGAGAUGGAACCCGCCUUGCAAUGUCAAAGACAAUCUGCGCGCCGCACUCAUCAUCAUUGAAGCCUGGUUCAGGGGCUACUGAGGGAGUCCUGGACUAAGGGGUCCUCGGACAGCCGGACUAUAUACUUUGGUCGGACUAUUGGACUAUGAAGAUACAAGAUAGAAGACUUCGUCCCGUGUCCGGAUGGGACUCUCCUUUCCGUGGAAGGCAAGCUUGGCGAUUCGGAUAUGUAGAUUCCUUUCUCUGUAACCGACUUUGUACAACCCUAGCCCCCCUCGGUGUCUAUAUAAACCGGAGGGUUUAGACUUCUAGGGUUUAGCAACAACGAUCAUAACCUCAUAGGCUAGACUUCUAGGGUUUAGCCAUUACGAUCUCGUGGUAGAUCAACUCUUGUAAUACUCAUAUUUUCAUCAAGAUCCAUCAAGCAGGAAGUAGGGUAUUACCUCCAUAGAGAGGGCCCGAACCUGGGUAAACAUUGUGUCCCCCGCCUCCUGUUACCAUUAGCCUUAGACGCACAGUUCGGGACCCCCUACCCGAGAUCCGCCGGUUUUGACACCGACAACAGGGGCUACGGAUUGAAGGAACAUUGGCUAAGGACGAGGUGAUGAUGCAUGUCGGAAAUGGUUCCAAGGUCGAUGUGAUCGCCGUUGGCACGCUACCUCUACAUCUACCUUCGGGAUUAGUUUUAGACCUGAACAAUUAUUAUUUGGUGCACGCGUUGAGCAUGAACAUUAUAUCUAGAUCUUGUUUAAUGUGAGACAGUUAUUCAUUUAAAUCAGAGAAUAAUGGUUAUUCUAUUUUUAUGAGUAAUAUCUUUUAUGGUCAUGCACCCUUGUUGAGUGGUCUAUUUUUGUUGAAUCUCAAUUGUAGUGAUACACAUGUUCAUAAUAUUGAAGCCAAAAGAUGCAAAGUUGAUAAUGAUAGUGCAACUUAUUUGUGGCACUGUCGUUUAGGUCAUAUUGGUGUAAAGCACAUGAAGAAACUCCAUGCUGAUGGGCUUUUGGGAUCACUUGAUUAUGAAUCACUUGGUGCUUGCGAACCAUGCCUCAUGGGCAAGAUGGCUUAACCUCCGUUCUCCAGAACUAUGGAACGAGCUACUGACUUAUUGGAAAUAAUACAUAAUGAUGUAUGCGGUCCGAUGAGUGUUGAGGCUCGUGGUGGUUAUCGUUAUUUUUUGACCUUCACAGAUGAUUUGAGCAGCUAUGGGUAUAUCUACUUAAUGAAACAUAAGUGUGAAACAUUUGAAAAGUUCAAAGAAUUUCAGACUGAAGUGGAAAAUCAUCAUAACAAGAAAAUAAAGUUUCUACGAUCUGAUCAUGGAGGCGAAUAUUUGAGCUACGAGUUUGGUCUUCAUUUGAAACAAUGUGGAAUAGUUUCGCAACUCACGCCACCUAGAACACCACAGCAUAAUGGUGUGUCCGAAUGUUGUAACAGUACUUUAUUGGAUAUGGCGUGAUCUAUGAUGUCUCUUACUGAUUUACCUCUAUCGUUUUGGGGUUAUGCUUUAGAGAUGGCUGCAUUCACGUUAAAUAGGGAACCAUCAAAAUUCGUUGAGACGACACCAUAUGAACUGUUGUUUGGCAAGAAACCCAAGUUGUCGUUUCUUAAAGUUUGGGGCUGCAAUGCUUAUGUGAAAAAGCUUCAACUUGAUAAGCUCGAACCAAAUCGGAGAAAUGCAUCUUCAUAGGAUACCCAAAGGAAACUGUUGGGUACACCUUCUAUCACAAAUCCAACGGCAAGAUAUUCGUUGCUAAGAAUGGAUCCUUUCUAGAGAGGGAGUUUCUCUCGAAAGAAGUGAGUGGGAGGAAAGUAGAACUUGAUGAGGUAAUUGUCCUGAAUUGGAAAGUAGUUUAUCACGGAAAUCAGUUCCAACCUACACCAAUUAGUGAGGAAGCUAAUGAUGAUGAUCAUGAAACUUCGGAUCAGAUUACUACCAAACCUCGUAGGUCAACCAGAGUAUGGUCCGCACCAGAGUGGUAUGGUAAUCCUAUUCUGGAAGUCAUGUUACUAGACCAUGAUGAACCUACAAACUUUGAGGAAGCGAUGAUGAGCCCAGAUUCCACGAAAUGGCUUGAGGCCAUGAAAUCUAAGAUGGGAUCCAUGUAUGGGAACAAAGUGUGGACUUUGGUGGACUUGCCCGAUGAUCGGCAAGCCAUAGAAAAUAAAUGGAUCUUCAAGAAGAAGACUGGCGCUGACGGUAAUGUUACUGUCUACAAAGCUUGACUUGUUGCAAAAGGUUUUCGACAAGUUCAUGGAGUUGACUAUGAUGAGAUCUUCACACCCGUGGCGAUGCUUAAGUCUGUCUGAAUCAUGUUAGCAAUUGCUGCAUUUUAUGAUUAUGAAAUUUGGCAAAUGGAGGUCAAAACUGCAUUCCUUAAUGGAUUUCUUAAAUAAGAGUUGUAUAUGAUGCAACCAAAAGGUUUUGUCGAUCCAAAAGGUGCUAACAAAAUGUGCAAACUCCAGUGAUCCAUUUAUCGAUUGGUGCAAGCCUCUCGGAGUUGGAAUAUACGCUUUGAUAAUGUGAUCAAAGCAUAUGGUUUAUACAGACUUUUGGAGAAGCCUGUAUUUACAAGAAAGUGAGUGGGAGCUCUGUAGCAUUUCUAAAAUAUUAUAUAUGGAUGACAUAUUGUUGAUUGGAAAUAAUACAGAAUUUCUGGAUAGCAUAAAAGGAUACUUGAAUAAAAAAAAUUCAAUGAAAGACCUCGGUGAAGCUACUUAUAUAUUGGGCAUCAAGAUCUAUAGAGAUAGAUCAAGACGCUUAAUUGGACUUUCACAAAGAACAUACCUUGAUAAAGUUUUGAAGAAGUUCGAAAUGGAUCAGUCAAAGAAAGGGUUCUUGCCUGUGUUACAAGGUGUGAAGUUGAGUCAGACUCAAUGCCCGACCACUGCAGAAGAUAGAGAGAAAAUGAAACUCAUUCCCUAUGCUUCAGCCAUAGGUCCUAUCAUGUAUGCAAUGUUGUGUACCAGACCUGAUGUGUGCCUUGCUAUAAGUUUAGCAGGGAGGUACCAAAGUAAUCCAGGAGUGGAUCACUGGACAACGGUCAAGAACAUCCUGAAAUACCUAAAAAUGACUAAGGAUAUGUUUCUCGUUUAUGGAGGUGACAAAGAGCUUGUCGUAAAUGGUUACAUCAAUGCAAGCUUUGACACUGAUCCGGAUGACUCUAUGUCGCAAAGCAGAUACGUAUUUAUAUUGAAUGGUGGAGUUGUCAGUUGGUGCAGUUCCAAGCCGAGCGUCGUGGCGGGAUCUACGUGUGAAGUGGAGUACAUAGCUGCUCCGGAAGCAGCAAAUGAAGGAGUCUGGAUGAAGGAGUUCAUAUCCGAUCUAGGUGUAAUACCUAGUGCAUCGGGUCCAAUGAAAAUCUUUUGUGACAAUACUGGUGCAAUUGCCUUGGCAAAGGAAUCCAAUUUCACAAGAGAAUCAAACACAUCAAAAGACGCUUCAAUUCCAUCCGCAAUCAAGUCAAGGAGGGAGACAUAGAGAUUUGCAAGAUACAUACGGAUCUGAAUGUUGCGGACCCGUUGACUAAGCCUCUUCCAUGUGCAAAACAUGAUCAACACCAAGACUCCAUGGGUGUUAGAAUCAUUACUAUGUAAUCUAGAUUAUUGACUCUGGUGCAAGUGGGAGACUGAAGGAAAUAUGCCCUAGAGGCAAUAAUAAAGUUGUUAUUUAUAUUUCCUUAUAUCAUGAUAAAUGUUUAUUAUUCAUGCUAGAAUUGUAUUAACCAGAAACUUAGUACAUGUGUGAAUACAUACACAAAACAAAGUGCCCCUAGUAUGCCUCUACUUGACUAGCUCGUUAAUCAAAGAUGGUUAUGUUUCCUGACCAUAGACAUGUGUUGUCAUUUGAUGAACGGGAUCACAUCAUUAGAGAAUGAUGUGAUGGACAAGUCCCAUCCGUUAGCUUAGCAUAACGAUCGUUAAGUUUUAUUGCUACUGCUCUCUUCAUGACUUAUACAUGUUCCUCUGACUAUGAGAUUAUGCAACUACCGAAUACCGGAGGAACACCUUGUGUGCUAUCAAACAUCACAACGUAACUGGGUGAUUAUAAAGAUGCUCUACAGGUGUCUCCGAAGGUGUUUGUUGGGUUGGCAUAGGUCGAGGUUAGGAUUUGUCACUCCGUGUAUCAGAGAGGUAUCUCUGGGCCCUCUCGGUAAUGCUCAUCACUAUAAGCCUUGCAAGCAAUGUGACUAAUGAGUUAGUUGCGGGAUGAAGCAUUACGGAAUGAGUAAAUAGACUUGCCGGUAAUGAUAUUGAACUAGGUAUGAAGAUAUCGACGAUCGAAUCUCGGGCAAGUAACAUACUGUCGGUGUCAAAACCGGCGGAUCUCGGGUAGGGGGUCCCAAACUAUGCGUCUAGGCGGAUGGUAACAGGAGACAAGGGACACGAUGUUUUACCCAGGUUCGGGCCCUCUUGAUGGAGGUAAAACCCUACGUCCUGCUUGAUUAAUAUUGAUGAUGUGUAUUACAAGAGUGGAUCUACCACGAGAUCAAGGAGGCUAAACCCUAGAAGCUAGCCUAUGGUAUGAUUGUUGUAAUGGAGGUUAUGUCCUACGGACUAAAGCCCUCCGGUUUAUAUAGACAUCGGAGAGGGCUAGGGUUACACAGAGUCGGUUACAAUGGUAGGAGAUCUACAUAUCCGUAUUGCCAAGCUUGCCUUCCACGCCAAGGAAAGUCCCAUCCGGACACGGGACAGAGUCUUCAAUCUUGUAUCUUCGUAGUCUUGGAGUCCGGCGGACGAUGAUAGUCCGGCUGUCCGGACACCCCCUAGUCCAGGACUCCCUCAGUAGCCCCUGAACCUGGCUUCAAUGACGAUGACUCCGGCACGCAUAAUGUUCGGCAUUGCAAGGCGGGUUCCUCCUGUGAAUAAUCCAGAGAAGAUUGUGAACACCAGGAUAGUGUCCGGCUCUGCAAAAUAAAUUCCACAUUCCACCAUAGAGAUAAUAAUAUAUACACAAGUUCAAUCUGCUGACGUAUCUUGUGGCAUGACGUCACACCACUACCAAGCCUUUACUUGAAUCAUUUUUUAUUAUACCACCUCAGUGCGUUUAGCGAAGCGGUUUCCUUGGCACGUCUUGUCGAAGCAGAGAUCGUGUUCCCCUUAUUCCGGGAUUCUCAUCAAUACGGACGUGGGUAACCCAACCGUGCCCGUCGCCACGCCUCCUCCAUCGAAGGUGAAUCCCAAACGGUCACGGAGACGGCUCUUGGUAUUCCCCUUCUUUAUAACAGGACCAAGGCUCGUUCUUUUCUUCAAUCUUCCACCGAAUCUUCUCCUUGCUCCAAGUUCCAACACCCAGAGCCCCAGAUUCAAGCGCUUCGGACCAUCAACAAUGUCCGGCUCCGACCUCCAGGGCCGGUGGAUGCCCUCCUCCGUUACGGAGGAGGACGUGCUAAAGCUGCGAGAAGCCAAGUACCUGUCCUACGAGAUCUCGCAUAGGCUGCCCGCCGAAGGGCAGGCCAUCCCUACCCCCGAGCCCGGAGAAUAUGUCGUCUUUGUAUCCCACCUCCGUCGGGGCCUAGGCUUCCCGACGGAUCGUUUUGUGAGAGGGCUCUUGUUCUACUACGGGUUGGAAUUCCACGACUUGGCUCCGGAGUCCAUCCUCCAUAUCUCCGCAUUCAUCGUUGUUUGCGAAGCCUUCCUCCGCGUCACCCCCCACUUUGGCCUGUGGCUGAAGAACUUCAAUGUGGAGCCGAAGAUGGUCGGGGGGCGUCGAGCUGAAUGCGGCGGGGCGGCCAUAAACAGGAGGGCUGAUGCCCCGUGGCUGGAGGGCUCCUUCCAAGAGGAGCUCGGCUUAUGGCAGCAGGAGUGGUUCUAUAUCACCGCUCCGAGGGGCAGCAGGCAGAAGCCGCCACCUCCGUUUCGCUCGGGACCUCCACGACGGUUGAUGUCGUGGGUCAACCAAGGGCUCAAUUGGGGGCCGUCAAAAGACGUGCCCCUAUUGCAGGGCCGAAUUCGAGACCUCCAAGCGAGGGAGAUCGAUCUGGUCGUGGUGAUGCAGGUUAUGCUAAUUAGGCGUCUCCUGCCCUGCAAACGCUGUCCUCUCCGGCUAUGGGAGUUCAAUCCGGAGGGACCAUGGAUUCUCCAACACUUCAUGGGUACGACACCCGUGGAGAUGUACAAGUUGUUCUUCGGACCACAAGUGGCGUGUCCGGAAUUGACCGAGGAUUCCGGCCUAAGCUGCAAUCGCCCGGAUACUCAAGUAAGUAGCUCAGUGUUUGGACGUACCAUUUGUUUGCCCUUCUUCGAUUCGCCUUUUAACCCAUUAUCCUUCAGUAGGAGUGGAUAGCGCAAGCAAAGCUGAUACGGUGUCCGGCCCCCCUCCCAGAGACCGCGCCGGAGCCCGUGCUGGUCAGAAUGUUGGAGGUUGCGCCUUCAGAAGAAGGCGAGGGGGAAAAUAGAGGAGCUACCGUCCCGCCCAAAGGGGUGCUUGAAGAAGGGGGGAUCGAGAAUCCCUCCCUCCAGGGGGAGAAGAGGACCACCUCCGAAGACCCGAAGGCCAAAGCACCUAAGCGGGGGAAGAAAUCUUCGCCGGAGGGUCCUGCGUCCGGGGAGGCCCCGGCCGCACCGUAUUCUCUAAAGAAUCAGCCCUCUAGUGAGCCGUGAGUAAAGGAAAAGGGGAGUUCAUUAAUAAGAAACAUCCCUUAUUUGUGCUUCUGAGGAUAACCGAAAUUGUUACCUUGUAGUUCGGAUCUGCGGCCCUCUCAGAUCAGCUCGGGGAUCUUCGUCCGGAGAUGAUGGAGAGCGAGACGCCUCCGUCUGCUGCGCCGUUGGAUAUGGCGGACAAGCCUGAAGUGUCGUCACGGAGGGUAUCCCCGAGCCCGGCAGAGCCGAAGAGUUCGGCGCCGACAAGUGUUCGGCCGGGGGAGCUGAAGGAUCUGCUUGAGAGGGCGUCCGUCUCAGAAGAUCACUGCGCAUUGAUGCGCAUGGUGAUUGGAAGGAUUUCGUCCGCCGAAAGCGGAUUGCACAGUGCCAUCCGGAGUUUGCUGGCGGGGUUUAAGGUUCGUAAAAACGACGCGCCUUUUUGAUAGUUUUGCACAUAAAAGUGCGCCCUGUAUAAAUAGUAGCCCCUGAGACUCGGUAGGUUGUCGAAAGCGACAACGUGCCGAGGAUCAAAAUCUUAGGUAUUGAAUGUCGCCCUUCCUAUGCAGGUGGCGGAUAGUCCGGGGGCUAGCCGGACUGAUGGGGUUGCCGAAUUAAUGCGGCAACUCGAUGUGGCAGAUGCAGACAUCGGGCUAGUCAACAAGCGACUUGACGAGUCGCAAGGUAAAUUGGUUUUCCGCAGUCAACUAUUAAGGGAGAGAAAGUCCACCUCUUACAAUAUUUAUGCUUGACGCAGAUGGUGCUGCUGCUGUGGAGAGCCUUCGGGCAGAACUUGCUCAAGCCAAGGAGCAGGCCAGAAGGAGUGAUGCGGCUGCCUCGAGGGCGGCCGAGGAGUUAGAAGCCGAAAGGGCUGCACACUGCCGAAGCAGGGAAGAGAUGGCCGAAUUGGCCGUUAAAUUGAAGGAUGCUACCGACCGCAAUGAGGCUCUUGGAAAGGAGCGUCCGUCGGAGCGAGAAGACCUCGUGAAGGCCACCGCCGAAGCUAAGGAUGCCCGUUCUGCAAUGCGGGCUAUGAAGGAGGAGCUGCGUCAGCUGGAGACAUUGUGGCUGGCAAGCCUUUUCUGCUACGCCGCAGGUUUACGGAUCCAAAGUAUGUCCAGCUUAUCCAGCUGUGGGGUCCAGAGGAUCCAUAUAUGGACUUAGCGGCGAGUGCGGCAGAUGCCGUUGUGCACUUCCGAAGCCAGAAGGAUCACCAGACGGAAGAGCUAUUUUGUUCUUAAUUCCAUAGUCCGGAUCGCUCACUUCCGCCGACCGAUCGGUUGGCCGAAUGGGCUGAACUGAAUAGGUUGUCCGGACUUGCCAUGACGGAUAUCGUGACUCAUGUCUGGCCGGAGAGGCCCAAGCUUACGAGCUAUUUUGGCUUAUUGCAGCAGUUUCUUGGGGCGGUGCCGCAUAUCAAGGAGAUGAAGUGGUCGGCCUGUAUAGAGGGUGCGCGGAUGGCCCUUGCCCGUGUGAAGACCCAGGGUUCGGACGAAAGUCGGUUACCCGCCGAGCACUAUUUUGGGGAAGUUAUGCGUGGUGCUCGUGUAAUAGAGUCGCAGUGCUCGAAAAAUGUCACGUUCAAAUGAACGUUUGUAAGACAAUGGUUAUGAUGUAAUCGCUUUUUAUACUUGUGCGUUCCAAGUAUUGAAAUAUCUCCUAUGCGGCCGUUUAUGUAUACAUGUGUAUAACCUGAAAGAUGGCAGUCUUCGGCUUCAGCCCCCACGCACAAGGUGCGGGGGUGUUCGCAAAAAUAGCGCGUUUUCACACUUAAUCCGACGUCUCGGUCCUGUUGAGGAGGUGGUAGCGUAGCGAACGAGGCAAUCCGGACUAUGAUGCUUUAUCACUUUCACUUAGCCAUUGGAGUUCGAGGGUGGGGCUAUGAUAUAGCCCCUGGGGGCACCACGCUCUCCGAAUUCGGGGCGCGUGUGUGCCUGACCGGGAAACGGUCCUUCAUUAAAGCGGGGGAAUUCUAAACAUUCCGGUUGUCGAUCGAGUGGUUGACCAGUCUCUCGCUAUAUCAUGACAGUCAAUUUUCGGCUUUCUCUACUGAGGUGCUCGCCCAGCCAAACUGGGGCACAAUCGCAGUAGUUCUCCUGGUGCCGCGUUAGCCGAUGAUACGGAACGUAAGGCAGCAAAACACAGGAGCCGGGCAAACCCAACAUUUGACCAAAGACAUGAUUCGGAGCUGAUGCAUAUAAGGCCUAACUCGAGACGCCGAACACUCCCUAAGGUGUUCGGUCUUUAUAAUAAUGGGCAGAACAAUGCCCUAAGCCCCUAGUGUCCAGGUACGGGCAAGGUCAUCUGACGCGGCUGAUGCCAAAACGUCAGGCUCCACGCUGGUUAUAAUGAGAAGCCAAGGGAUUGUAGCAACAAGAGACAGUAAAAAAGGUUUACGCAUGGUCUUAAUCUGAAAAGAAUCCUUGCAACGGGUCCCUACUGCACGUCUGCGCCUGUGUCUCCGUUGUGCCGUUAUCCUGGACGGGUGUGCACGUCGUUCAUCUGUAAAAAGAGAGGAACAUAGCUUGAAAGGAAAUCAUGCAAAAAAAGGUGUAUGAAAAAUAUUAAUAAGUAGAGCAGAGUCUAUAUUAGCUCAUUGUUGCUUAUACGCGCAACCCCUUGUAGAGAGGUGUGCAGCUAGGGAGCCCCUAGCUUAUUUGUGCCGGACUCGUCUAUCCGUGUCCGGGGUCUUUAAGUGACCCUCACAAUGAAAUGAUGCCACGUGGACCGGGCAGUUUAAGUGUAAGAGACGCGUAAUGUGGUAUAGCGUUGAAGCGGACAAAAGCUUCACGUCCCAGUAGUGCUUGAUAGCCACUUUUGAACGGGGCGACAUGAAAGAUUAGUUUUUCGCGUCGGAAGUUGUUCGGUGACCCGAACACUACUUCUAGUAAUAAGGAGCCUGUGCUUUUGGCGUAAGGGCCUGGCAUCACUCCUUUAAAGGGAGUGCGGCUAUGUCGAAUUUUAGUAAGGUCCAUCCCCAACUGGCGGAUUGUGUUUGGAUAUAGCAGGUUUAAAUCGCUGCCUCCGUCCAUCAGGACUUGUGUAAAUUGUAGUCCGUCGAUUAUACGAUCCAAUAUCAGAGCAAUCCAUCCUGCAUUGCGAACACUUCUGGAAUAAUCCAGGUGGUCAAACAUGAUUGGUUUUGACAUCCAAUCUCGAGGUUCCGCUGGGGUGGAUCGUGCGAGACCCAUCUUAGCGGGUGCCGCAUUGUUUUUCCGUAUCGUCACAUGAAGUGAGUUUACUGCUUUGACUUCCUGUGGGAAAGUCUUUUGUUUUCCGGUGCUCUGCUGGUGGGGUUUCUCAUCAUCUUCGCUUGAUGCGUCGAGCCCCUUGUGUUCGGCGUUGAGUCGGCCGGACUGUUUGAAAACCCAGCAAUCUCGGUGGGUGUGAUUUGCAGGCCUUCCGGGGGUACUGUGGAUUUGACAUAUCCGAUCCAAAAUUUUGUUAAGUUGGAUAGCUCAUCACUGUUAUCCUUAAGAGGCAGUGUUUUGUUGUUUGGCCUCGAGCUUUUGAAUCCGGCGUUGACCGCCGUAUUCUUUGGGCUUUUUUCUUUAUUCCGGCGCUAAUCCUUUCUGCGCCGUGAUUUUCCGUUUCCAUCUCUAGUCUCGGAUGUACUCGGGUCGCUGGUGCUGCAUCUUGCUAGCCAGCUAUCUUCCCCCGCGCAAAAGCGGGUCAUAAGGCUUGUUAGCGCGGACAUUGUCCUCGGCUUCUCUUGGCUGAGGUGUCUGGCGAGCCAUUCGUCUCGGACGUUGUGUUUAAAAGCUGCUAAGGCUUCGGCGUCCGGACAGUCGACUAUUUGGUUCUUUUUAGUGAGGAACCUGUUCCAGAAUUUGCGCGCUAACUCUCCGGGCUGUUGAGUUAUAUGACUUAGAUCGUCUGCAUCCGGAGGGCGGACAUAAGUCCCUUGAAAAUUUGCUCUGAACGCGUCCUCGAGCUCUUCCCAACUUCCAACAGUGUUUUCUGGGAGGCUUUUGAGCCAGUGUCGAGCUGGCCCUUUGAGCUUGAGGGGUAGAUAUUUUAUGGCGUGGAGAUCAUCUCCGCUAGUCAUAUGUAUGUGUAGUAUGUAAUCCUCUAUCCAGACUCCAGGGUCUCUUGUUCCGUCGUAAGCCUCUAUGUUUAUGGGUUUAAACCCUGCUGGGAAUUCAUGAUCCAGCACCUCAUUGGUGAAACAUAGUGGGUGUGCGGCGCCCCUGUAUUUGGGUGUGCCGUUGUCUUCGAACACUUGGCGUGUUGUGCUGCUUCCUGGGGCCCUCUUUUUUGGCCCGUAAAUGGACCUGGCUGGGCCAUCUGUUUUCCCAGGGUCACGAGUUGGCUUAUGUGCGGCGCCACUUGUAGAUUUUGGCCUAUCUUCUGGUCGUCUAUCCGGCCAGGCGGCCUCUUUGCUUUUUGACUGUGGGGGCUCUAUGGCUUCCUCGUCAAAUUCUGGCAGCAGCUUGCGCUUCGGGUAGCUCUUUGAUUGAUGGUCAUUGCCAUAUUUGUCUGCGGUCUUCAGUACUUUGCUCCACCUCAUUCUGAGUAUGUCUUCCGCUGUUUUGAGCUUCCGUUUUUCCUUCUUCAAGCUUCUUGCGGUGGCGACGAGUCUUUCGUUAAGGUUUUUAUGCUCCGGUGGUAUGUCCGGCGUGAGGUCGUCCGGACUGUUGGUUUCGCCGGGAUUGGAUUGAUUAUCCGAUUCGUCCUAUUCGGUUGGUUGCUUGGUUGCAUGUUCGCCGUCCACCGAUUUGCCCUGCUCUAACGCUGGGUCAUUGGGAAUGCUGUCUUUGCCGAGGCGGGGCUUGGGCGGCGCUUACGUCGCCGUUUUGGUUGUUUAUCGGCGGGAUUAUCCUUUGUCGUGCCCCAUUGUUCCUCGUCGUCGCUUCCUUUUGGGGUAUCCACCAUAUAUACUUCAUAUGCUGGAGUGUUCUUCCAGUGCCCUGUAGGCGCUGGUUCCUGUUCGUCUCCGGCAUCGUCGUCCAUACCGUCGAUGUCUUCGGAGUCAUAGUCUAGCAUGUCGGUUAGAUCGUCGACAGUGGCUACAAAGUGGGCGGUGGGUGGGCUCUGAAUUUCUUCGUCGUCCGCAUCCCAACCCUCCUGGCCAUAGUCCGGCCAGGUCUCUCCGGAUAGCGAGAGAUGCUUUAGUGAAUUUAGGAUGUCGCCGAAGGGCGAGUGCUGAAAGAUGUCCGCCGCGGUGAACUCCGUGAUCGGUGCCCAAUCGGAUUCGAUCGGCAGGGGCGCAAGAGGUCCGGAGUCCGACAGGGAGUCCGGCGCCUCGAAGUCACGAGCUUUCUGGGGGACAAGGUCAGAGUUCGGCUCCAUCACCGUGGAAGUUGCAGCCCCCGAGGCGGUGUUCAGCCACCGGUCCUCGAUCUGGGCGAUCGGCUCCGGACUGAGAGCCGAAGCGGAUUCGUAUGCGGCCACCAAGGCACUGUCCGGCGGCAGAGCUAAAUCAUGCCCAUCGUGGCAGCGCGGCACGCUCGGUUGUGGCUCGGGUACAUCAAAGAUCAAGUCCCCGCUGAUGUCGGCCGUGAAGUUUAGGCUUCCGAACCUGACCUGAUGGCCAGGGGCAUAGCUUUCGAUCUGCUCCAGAUGGCCAAGAGAGUUGGCCUGUGUAAGUGCAUCUAGUGCCCCUUAGUGAUUUUGGUGGAUUGAAGACUUAUAGCUUAAGUGACUGAUACGUUUGUGAGUGUACACAAGUCUAUAAGUCUAUAAGGAGUUUGAUAUUUACAGAGAAAGUCGACCCCUAAAAAUGAAGUUCUUCGACUGAAGACUUUGAUAUUCUGAAGACUUUCUGAAGACUUUGAAAGUGAAGAAAUUGGUGUGACCUUGAAGACUUGGUAUUCACUUGAGGAACAUGAAGCGUGAAGACUUUUGUUUUCGUAGUUUCAUUUUCUCUUUCUUGAGUCAUAGGAAACACCGUACUGUUAAAGGGGGUCGAGGAAAUACUAAAGAAAAAUUUCCAUGUGAUGCUCAACUCAAAAUCCUACACCUACCAAUCCCUUCGAGUGAAGCCAUUGGAAAUCUCAUACAGUUCAGUCAAUUUCUUCAGUGACAGAGACGCAGUUCUUCUGGUCACUGAGGACUUUGCUCUAACUGAGGAGUUAGGAAUUCGCCAGUGCGAAUUGCCUACACAGUGAGGAACAUGAUAGCCCUGAGGAAUUUGAGAGUCAAAUUUCUGACCGUUGCUGUGCUGCGCGCCGGCUGUCCAAAAUAUCUUAUCCAUCUAAUGGUCAUAUCAUUGAAGGGCAUUUAUGUCUUAUCAUGUCGGGCUGCUCCCUAGGCUAUAAAUAGCCGCCCCCUACAACCACUAGUUGGUUGGCUGCUCCGAGAGAACUUGACACUUGUCAUCUGAGAGCAACCCAUCCUCCGAGGACUUUGAGCGAAAAUCAUCAAGUGAGGAAAACCCAAAACCAAACCCCCACAAACCCAAAGUGAUUGAGCAUCACUGAAGAAAUUGAUCCUGCGUGGAUCCGACGCUUGUUACCUUUGAAGACUGUGCUUCUUCCAGACGGUUAGGCGUCAAGGUCUAGAGCAUCCAAGAGGAAUUGUGGAUCGCCGAGUGACCAAGUCUGUGAAGGUUUGGAAGUCACCUGAAGACUUACCACGAGUGAUUGGAUGAGGCCUGCAUGGUCUUAGUUCAAGGAGAAUACGGUGAGGACUGGGUGUCCUGAGUUGCGGCUCAGAGACUGGGUGUCCGGGACUGUGUGUCCUCGAGUUUAAAUACUCAGCUGCUCCAACCAGACGUACAACUAAGACAGCAGUUGGAACUGGUUUACCCAAUCAUUAUCUUCACCAACUAACUGGUUCUAUUUCCUCAACUCUUUCAUUUCCUCAUUACUGUGUUGUAUGUUGUUCAUAUCUGUGCUUGAAGACUUUGACUGAAGACUUUCACAAAUUCCUCAGUUCAAUUUCUUCAGUCUGUUUGUCUUCAUCUUGUUAUCCUGUGUUUACGCUUUCUGUACUCUGUGCUAGUCUUCAUUUCAUCAUGAUGACUAUGUUUGUAUCCUGUUAUGUUUACUUCUGAGUACUUAUUCCGCUGCAAGUAGUUCUUCGCUAAGGAAUUUCCUCACCAGCAAAUUCCUUAGUGAAGAAUUCAUAAAAAUCGCCUAUUCACCCCCCCUCUAGUCGAUAUAACGCACUUUCAAUUGGUAUCAGAGCAAGGUACUCCCUUGUUCUGUGUGAUUUUGGUUUAACCGCCUGGAGUUUUAGUUAUAUUGACUGCAGGUAUGAUCAAGGUCUUGGCUGGGUGUCCCACCUUUGAUGGAACGGACUACCCCUACUAGAAGAACAAGAUGCGAAUGCAUCUUGAGGCAAUUGAUAACGAUCUCUGGUAUGUUGUGGAAAAUGGUGUCCCCUCUGUCACUCCCCCACUGAACGCUACCGAUGUGAAGAGAUUCAAACAACUCGAUUCUCAAGCGAAGAAUAUCAUAUGUGGCCAUCUGAGCAAAGGACAGUAUGGAAGAGUGAGUGCUUUGGAAACUGCUAAGCUUAUCUGGGAUAGGCUGUCCAAAGUAAAUGAAGGAGUUUCAACUCAGCGUGACUCUCGAGUCGAUGUUCUUCGGAAUCUCUUCAACCACUUCAAAAGACUCGACAAUGAGAAUGUCCAACAAACCUUUGAUCGCCUCACUGACAUCUCAAAUGAGCUUCAAGCCCUCGGUGCCACUGACAUCACUGAUCAUGAAGUUGUGAAGAAACUAUUGAGAUCGCUUGAUUCCUCAUUUGAUACUCUGGGACUGAUGAUACAAGAACGUGCUGACUACAAGUCGCUUGAUCCUGCUGAUAUCCUCGAAAGGCUAAACACUCACGAGUUCCAGCUUGCUGAAAAGAGAGAUCUCUAUGGUUCAAACUAUGGCAAACCACGUGCCCUGAAGGCCAAGGCUGUGUCUGACUCUGAAUAUGAGGACUCUGGUAGUAGCCUUGGUGAUCCUGAAGAACUGAGCCAGGAUCUAGCACUGCUUGUGAAGAAAUUCCAGAAGUUCACAAGACGUGGUCGCUUUGGAAAAUCCUCAAGAGGCAAUGAUUCCUCAUCCAGUGACUAUAAGAGAAGGCUUUGCCACAAAUGCAAGAAGCCUGGUCACUAUAUUCAAGAUUGUCCUCAGUGGGAAAAGGAAAUGAAGAAGAAGAAAUACAAGGACUACAGUUUUGAUGAUGCGAAGAAGAAGAAGAAAUCGUCAAAAUCUUCGUCAUCAAAAUCCUCGAAGUCUUCAUCUCACAAGAAGAGCAGCUCCAAGAAGGCUCGGGCAUUCAUUGGCAAGGAGAUGGACUCUGAAGCUGAAUCUGAGGAAAAUGAUGAAGAGGAGGCAUCUGAAGAAUCUGAGUCUGGUGUGGCGAGUCUGGCCGUUGCUACUGCCUUCGUCAGCAAGUCCAUCUUCAACACUGAAGAAACUGACUCCACCGACAAGCCUGAUGAAGAUAAUGAUGGCUACGCUCCCACCUAUUGCUUCAUGGCAAAAGGUGCUAAGGUACUCAAAUACAACUCCUCUGAAUCUAGUGAAAAUGAAUCUGAUGAGGAUCUCAAGCCUAGCUACUCUAAACUUGCUAAGAUUGCUUGAAACAACAACGGGCUCUUGAAAAGGUUCAAAACAUGCUAGACAAAAGUGACGAUAUGUUGGGUGAAGAAAUGGAUCGCACUAAAGCCUUGACUGAAAAUCUUCAGAGACUUCAGUCUAGGUUUCAUAACCUUCAAGGUCAUCAUAACGCUCUCUUGUCUGAUCAUGAGAAACUUUCUUAUGAAUUUCUUCAAGAAAAGCAAGAUCACGAGAAGCUUUCUCUUGAAUCUCUUCAAAGAAAGGAAGAUCUUGAAAAGCUAAGAGUGUGUUAUGAAGAUCUUCAGAAGGAGCGUGAUUCAUUACUAGCUCAACAAAUCAGCGCUUCUCAGGAAGAAUUUGUCCCCCAUGCUUAAAGUGCAUUGAACGUGAAUCUGCUAAUUCUUCACCUGAAUGUUCAAAUGCUUCAACUGUUACAAAUUCCUCAUCUGCCUCUGCUAUCACUAAUUCCUCACCUGAGGACAUUGCUAGCUUCACUGACAAUGCAGGGCUGAAGGAACUGUACAUGACAGGCAUGUACAAAAGCCCCAAAGGGCAUCAGACACUUUGUGAUGUGCUCAAAAGGCAGAUCCUCAACAGAAACCCUAGGAAAGAGGGUAUUGCCUUUGAGAGGAAACUCAAUGCUGAUGGAACAUAUUGGAAGCCUGAGCAGUACCCCAAAACCUCAUGGGUUGCUGCAAAGGGACCUCCAGUUGAUCCAUCUAACUUAUCUGGCUUUACAUGUGAAUCUCCUCAUUCUUCUGAUAAGUCAUUUGACUCCAACUAUAAAUUGUUCAAAAAUCAGAAUGGUGAAGUAUUUGCUAGAUAUGUUGGCACUAACUACAGGAACGGUUCCCCUAUGAAGAAAAUCUGGGUUCCCAAAAGCUAUGUUGAAAGUCUUCAGGUGAAUGUCCUCAUGACACCACCUGUGAAGAAUAGGAACCCCAGAUCAAAUUCUUCAUAUGGACCAAAUUCUUCACAUGGAUCAAAUUCCUCAACUGGAUCAAAGUCCUCAUAUGAUUAUCAUCGUGCUAACAACUCUGUCUCGCAGGGUAGAGCUAAGGGCUAUGAAUAUGUGCAUUAUUCUUCAAACCAUUAUGUUCAUAAGUCCUCGAAGAAUUACUCUGCUUAUUCAUAUGCUUGCCCUAACCCCUCUUAUGUGAAACGAAACGGUUUGGCUUCUUUGCCACCUUUCUCAUAUGGUGCUCGUAGAAUGAUGAACUCUUUGCCACCCCUCCAGAUGUGGGUGGUGAAGAAAAAGAACUAAUCUCUUCUGUAGGGUCAGGUCUCCAGACGUGCUUUAACGUCUGAAGAAUUUGCUGGGGACCUGACGAAAAUGCCUGAAGGGACGCAGGCGAAUCAUGAUGAAAUGAACUUUCAUUUCACACGUCCUCAUACUGCUAUAUCUGUUUACUGCUUGAUGAAAUUCAUCUGAUGAACUUGAUAUCAUAUUCUUCACUGAUGAAGCAUAUGAGAUUGUAAGUUACACUAAUUCAUCUGCAGGAUGAUCAACCCAAAGCCACUGAAUGGGUCCUCGAUAGUGGAUGUACAAAUCACAUGACUGGUGACAAGAAUUUAUUGAUGGAUGCUCCCUUAUCACCGUCACCUCUGAAGCAUAUCAUCUUUGCUGACAAAGGCAAAAGUCGGGUAUUGGGUCUUGGUAAGGUUGCUAUCUCUAAGGAUAAGCACAUGGACAAAGUCAUGCUUGUUGAGUCCUUAGGAUACAAUCUCAUGUCAGUCUCAAUGCUUUGUGAUCUUGAUAUGGUUGUUGUCUUUGGCAAAUAUCGCUGUGUUGUGAUUAUGGAAGCUGACAAUUCCAAAGUCUUCGAAGGCUUUAGGAGAGGAGAUCUGUAUAUUGUUGAUUUCUCUACAGGACCACAACCAGCCAUGUGUCUACUUGCAAAAGCUUCAGAAGGCUGGCUAUGGCAUCGACGACUUGGUCACGCAGGCAUGAGGAAUUUGAACACGCUUGCGAAGAAGAAGCAUGUCAUUGGCAUUGAGAAUGUCAAAUUCCUCAAGGAUCACUUAUGCGGAGCCUGUGAAGCUGGAAAAAUGACCAAGGCCAAGCAUCCAGCGAAGACUAUCAUGACCACUACCCGUCCAUUCGAAUUGCUUCACAUGGACCUCUUCGGACCUAAUCAUUACUCAACUGUCACUAAUGAUGCAUCUCUAUAUGGUUUUGUCAUUGUUGAUGAUUAUUCUCGAUAUACAUGGGUACACAUUGUUACUUACAAACAUGAAGUGCAGGAAGUCUUCAAACGAUUUUCCUCGAGGGCUUCAACCAACUUUGGUGUGAAGAUCAAGCAUAUCAGAAGUGACAAUGGAACUGAGUUCAAGAAUUCCGGUCUUGAUGCAUAUCUUGAUGAACUUGGUAUUACUCAUGAGUUAUCUGCUCCCUAUACUCCUCAGCAGAAUGGCGUCGUGGAGCGCAAGAACAGAACUCUUGUUGAGAUGGCUCGCACUAUGCUUGAUGAAUACAAAACGCCUCAGCGUUUUUGGAUUGAUGCAAUUGAUACUGCUUGCCACAUCAUCAACAGAGUGUAUCUUCACAAAUUCUUCAAGAAGACUGCCUAUGAACUCCUCACUGACAAGAAACCCACAUGAAGGUUUUAUGCUUGGUUACGGAAAGGACUCGCACACCUACAGAGUCUUCAACAUUGUUCUUCACAAGAUUGUUGACACUGUAGAUGUGCGGUUCGAUGAAACUAAUGGCUCGCAAAGAGAGCACCUACCUUCUGUGUUAGAUGAACCAGCACCUAAAGAUGCUAUCAAGCUCAAGGCAACUAAGGAUGUCAUUCCGACUGAAGAAUCUGCUAAAGAAUUCAUUCCUGUUCAUGAAGAACGUCGAGCUGAUGCACCUGAAGAACAUGAUGAGGAAAAUGGUGCUGAAGAAAAUGUUGAUCAAAAUCCUCAGCGACAACCAACUCAUCCACGCAUUGCAAAAGAAGUGCAAGUGGAGAAGAUCAUCGAUGACAUCAGCGCACCAGGUCCUCUCACACGCUCAAAACCAUCACAUUUAUCUAACUUUUGUGGGCACUAUGCUUUUGUCUCUAUCACAGAGCCCACUAAGGUAGAUGAAGCAUUUCUGGAGCCGGAGUGGAUUCAGGCUAUGCAAGAAGAAUUACAUCAGUUCGAGCUGAAAAAUGUCUGGGAAUUGGUCAAUCGCCCAGAUCCUCGCAAGCAUAAUAUCAUUGGCACAAAGUGGAUCUACCGCAACAAGCAAGAUGAAAAUGGCCUUGUGGUGAGGAAUAAGGCACGACUAGUAGCUCAAGGCUACACACAGGUUGAAGGAAUUGAUUUCAAUGAAACUUUUGCACCUGUUGCUAGACUUGAGGCUAUUUGCAUAUUACUUGCUUACGCUAACCAUCAUGAUAUCAUCUUAUAUCAAAUGGAUGUGAAAAGUGAAUUCCUCAAUGGUAAGCUUGAGGAAGAAGUAUAUGUUGCUCAACCCCCAGGUUUUGAAGAUCCCAAGAAUCCUGACAAAGUCUUCAGACUCAAUAAGGCCCUCUAUGGCCUCAAGCAAGCCCCUCGGGCGUGGUAUGAUACAUUGAAGGAAUUCUUUGUGAAGAAUGGCUUCACACCCGGUUCACUCGACCCUACUCUUUUUACUAAAUCAUAUGAUGGUGAACUGUUUGUGUGCCAAAUAUAUGUUGAUGAUAUUAUCUUUGGUUGUACUGACCAACGUUAUAGUGAUGAAUUUGCCUAUAUGAUGAGUGAAGAAUAUCAAAUGUCUAUGAUGGGAGAAUUGUAAUUCUUCUUAGGUCUUCAAAUUCGUCAGCAGCGCAAUGGCAUAUUCAUAUCUCAGGAGAAAUACCUCAAAGAUGUAUUGAAGAAAUUCGGCAUGCAAGAUUGCAAAGGCGUCAAAAUUCCUAUGCCCACAAAUGGCCAUCUAUGCACUGAUGAAAAUGGUAUUGACUUUGAUCACAAGGUAUACCGCUCCAUGAUUGGUUCCUUAUUGUACUUAUGUGCAUCUAGGCCAGAUAUAAUGCUUAGUGUUUGCAUGUGUGCCUGAUUUCAAGCUGCACCGAAGGAAUCACACCAUAAGGCUGUGAAGCAUAUUCUUCGAUAUCUAGCUCACACACCAACACUAGGAUUAUGGUACCCCAAGGGCUCUGCUUUUGAUCUCAUUGGAUAUUCUGACUCUGACUAUGCUGGUGAUCGUGUGGACCGCAAGUCAACAUCCGGCACGUGCCAUUUCCUCGGACGAUCUUUGGUCUGUUGGUCCUCGAAGAAACAGAACUGCGUAUCACUGUCUACUGCUGAAGCUGAAUACAUUGCUGCUGGCUCAUGCUGUGCUCAACUGCUUUGGAUGAAGCAAACCCUCAAGGACUAUGGCGUCAACGUGAAGAAUGUGCCUCUCCUCUGCGACAAUGAGAGUGCCAUCAAGAUUGCUCACAACCCAGUUCAGCACUCGAAGACAAAGCACAUCCAGAUUCGUCAUCAUUUUCUUCGUGAUCAUGUGUUGAAGGGCGACAUCUCCAUCGAGCAUGUGAAGACUGAAGAACAGCUAGCUGAUAUCUUCACUAAGCCCUUGGACGAGAAGAGAUUUAGCAAGUUGCGGUGUGAGCUAAAUAUCUUAGAAUCUUCGAAUGUUCUUUGAAAAGGACACACAUCCUAACCCUUAUGCAGAAUUGAUGACUUAGAUGUGCAACACAUGAAGAAACGUUUUUCUUCAAUCAAUGAAGAAUAACACUCUAAGUGUGAAGAAAUUAAUGAAGAAUUUGAUUCUCAGAACUCUACGACAAUUGUACGCGGUGUCUAAAAUCAUCAUUCUUAUACGGUGGGUUACGCCACCACAAAAGUUGAAAAUCUUCAAUUUGAGUUUUUCCUCAUUUUUGAAAUUCUUCAGUUUUUCAAAUUCUUCAACUUUGCAAAAUCUUCACUGGUUCCGUCGUUUUUCUUCAUUGGGUAUAUAUAUAUCUAUGAGUUUAUGUCCUCUACAGCAUUCACUUAUUGCUAUUUCUUCAAGUUGUUAUUUCUGCUAAGUGAAUGUGAUUGGACCCUUCCCCCUCUAUGCUAGACUCAACCCAAUCUAUUCACAAAUUCUUCAUGUGCGUUCUGAUUGAAACUCGUUCAAAGUCUUCACUGUGUCCUUGUCAGCUGAAGAAAUUGCGAAUGAAACUUUAAAACAAAUCUUAUCCAGAUUUUCGGUUUUACCACUCAAACCGUUCUGCAUCCCACGAUGCAUUAUUUUAUUCACCCACGAUCUUACACGAUCUCAUCUGCACAGUAUGUGGGUGACACAUGUCGCAUGAAGAAGAAAGGGCAGGGGCAUGUUCGUCCCAAAAUCUUCGGGCGAACAGUUUUUACCGUGGCUAUAAAUACCCCUCUCCCCUUCCUUACUUCAUUUACUCCGCUCGGUCGCUGUCUCUCGCUCGAGCUCACCUCAAACCCUAGCGCCGCCGCUACUCCAUCGCCGUCGGUGAGGAAGAGCUUCACUGCCUCGACCUCGUCGCCGUCGUACUCGCGCCGGCUGCGGAAAUCUUCACUCCGCUGCCGCCGUAGCUGUCUCCCUCUGCCAAGUUAGGGCGUGGGAGAUCUAACUUGACGAACUUCACCGUUGUUCAUCUCUGUUCGCCGUGUUCUUCAGUUCAGGUAAUUAAAAGUCACUUUUAUUACUCGCUUUGAUUCUCAAACUUUUCUGAAAAUCUUCAAAGGUGUUUUAUUCUUAAAAUCUUCACAUAUGAACAUCUCACACACUGUAUGCUCUUGAUCCAUCUCUAUAAGCACUCAUUUCUUCAAGAUUCCUCAAUUGUGCGGAUUUUGGAUCUGUACAACUCUGGAACCUAAGACAAGAACGCUUAGUGAAAUUCCUCAAGGCUCAACUGGUCAAAUUCCUCAAAACUUGUCUUUUCGAAAAAUCUUCUGAGAACGCAUAUGACCUCUCCAAAUUCCUCGCACCUACACUCUGUUCACAGGUACUCAUGUCCGCUGCUGAAUCACUAGGUUCUCAUCAACUUAACUCAUUUGCAGCGUUCCUCGAAGAAAAACUGCAUACUUCUUCAGAGUGUUCAAUUGUUCAAAUUCCUCAUCUGAAGAAAAUGGCUGAAGGAAAGAGACCGCAGAAAGGAGGAAAGAAACCGAAGGUCAUGACUGCUUUCGAGAUCCCUGAUGAAAUAUACAAGGAUUAUUGCACACCUAAUGAAGCCAAGUUUGGCAAAGAAAACAAGAAUCAGCGCAAAGUGCGCAUUCAGAGGAUUGAACGAAGAUGGGCACGAGAAUGGAGGGAAUAUCGAUAUGUUACUCCAAAGUACAUGAAGAAAUUCGCCUUAAAUCCUCCAUGCCCAAGAGCUCCAUUAGCACCUAGCCAAGUUGCUGAUCCCACUAGAAUCAAAAGUGGUGAAGACUUUCCUGAAGAAUGGGCUAGGCGCCAAGCAAAAUUGGCAAGACAAGCCAAGGAGGCAGUGAGGAAAUUCAAUGAGGAUUCUGCUAGUGCUGCUGCCGCUGAGACCUCGGUCAAGCCGAGGAAAUCAAUGCCGAAGAAGCCUGCUCGCAAGCCAAGUGCUUCACCAUCAGCGCCCUCACGGCCCAGUUCCUCAGCCGCGCCCUCACGGCAAAUUCCUCAGACUACUGCUGCUCCACCAAAGUCCUCAGCAGCUCCCUCCAAGUCCUCAACUCCUGUGCAUCUAGCUACAUGUCAAAGGACUCAGGGCUUCUCAAUUGCUUCUGGUGUCUCAGCGAGUUCCUCAGCUGCACCAAUGUCCUCAUCAGGCCCCACUCUGUUGAAGACAAAACCAACAGCUGGACGCGGUCCUUGGCCAAGUCCAAGAAAGAAACAGGUUGCUUUCCAAGUGCCCUCUGAUGACGAGGCCUUUGAUGAAGAACUUGCAGAAAUAAUCAGAGACAGACAACCAAAGGCCGCCAGAGCCAAAGGAACACCUGUGCCUUUGCUUCUGGAUCCGAAGAAGAUCCUCGACUACAUCGACUUAUGGCAUAAGGAUCCAAACACUCCAAUGCCUGAUCUGCCUCUGACUCCUGGUCAAAGUCAUAUGCUGACCUAUUUCAUCUCUCAAGAGAAAUGGAAGUUUGAAAAGGCUCGUGAGAUAAAGAGAGCACAAGCUAGAAAGGAGAAGCUUCUGAAGAAGAACGUUGUCAGACUGACACCUGAAGAACUUCUUAAGGCUCAAUCUGAGAUCCAAGCCCUCAGCAAAGAUUUCGAUGCAUACAAUGCUGAUUGGCAAGGAGCCAAAGUGAGAUUCGUCAAUUUGACGAAGAAAAUGACAACUGUUGCAGCCCCAUCGCAACAAGAAAAUCCUCAGGCUGCAGACUCUGCUCAGCCUGCUGAAGAACAUGCCAGCACUGCUGAUGACUUUCAGCCUGCUGAUGAGAAUACAAGUUCCAGGGCUGAUGACUCCAUUCCAGCCGCUGAAGAAAUUCCCAGGGCAUCCACUAGUGGUGCGCCUGAAGAAACUGAAGAGAUCAGGGCAACUACACCUGUUGCACCUGAAGAAAAUGAACCACAGUCCUCAGCUCCUCCCGCGCCAACACCAACUCCAAUCCUUCCUUCUGCUUAUGAAGUGAAGAAGACCAAGGCUGCAGAGCGAGCUGCAGUAAAGAAAAGGAAGGCAUCAGCUGCGUCAAAUUCUUCGGCCGCGAAGAAAAUGAAGCCAAUGACCAGCUCGCUUGAAAAUCCUAUUUGAUGCCAUUCCAAUUUCCUCCAUGUCAUCCAAGGAGAUUGUUCCCUAUGGAGAAGACUACAAGAUCCCAAGCGGAUCUGAUGAAGAAAAUCAUUCUGUUGCUACCUCAGAGCAGUUUGAUGAAGAAAUUGAAGUGGAAGCAUUCCCUUCACCGCCAGUCGUUUCCUCACCUAUGCCUCAGUUCACAGCUGAAGAGGCUGGUGUUGAGGAAAUUGAAAAAGAAGAUGAAGAUGUGGAUAUUGGAUGCACUACACCAGUGAUGAACGAUGACUUUUGGGAAAGUCAGCAUCCCAAUACUCCUCUCUUCACUCCUAUUCAACAAAUUCCUCAGUCCCCGGCUACAACUAUUCAAAUGGGCUCUGAAGAAACUCAUCCCACAUCGUCUAUUCAUGAAGAAAUUCCAGCCGCUAGUGCUGAAGAACCUGCUGCUGCUGAUCCCCAAACUGCACAAGAAGAGGAACUAGAAAUUCCUCAGCCUGAAGCACCUGAGAUCGUCAUUCCUGAGGUUGUGUUGCAAAUCACUGACACUCCUCUGCCCAAACCGAAGAAUCCGUUCUCUAGCAAGCAAAAAUUCAAGGCUGAAGACUUCUUUUCUGAGCAUGUGUUCUUCACUGAUUACAAUCCAUAUGACUAUGCUCGCAUAAGGAAGAGACGUUUCUGGACUGCUACUCAAGCCAACUUCUAUUCCUCAGUGCUCUUUGACAAGGACAAAAUCUUCGAUCAUGAACAUAUUCCUCAUGUGGAUAUGGAAUCUCUGCCAUGCUUCGAGCCAGUCCUCCGAGUUAUUCACGAUGCAGGACUACUGAACUUCUGCACUGAUAUCUAUGAUUGGAAUGAAGAACUCAUUCUUCAGUUCUAUGCCACUUUGCAUAUCACCGGAGAUGCUGAAGAUGUCAAUUCAUGGGUGCUGGAUUGGAUGACAGAAAACACUCACUAUAAGGCACCAGCAACUGAAUUGCUUCGUGUCCUUCCUCUUGAUCCUCCCCAUGCCAGUGCACGUUGCAUCUACAAUGACCGCGAACUGACAGAUCAUUAUAUGCAAGUGCUCAUGAAGCCUUUGAAGCCAGGGCAGGGCCCACGAACCAAAUUCCUCUUCAAGGAAUUGCUAUAUGUGCCUCGGACUGUCUAUCGCAUACUGACGAAGACAAUGAGUCCUAUCAAAGGCCACGACUCAAAUGAUGAAGAUGUCGUUGGCAUCAUGAAGAACAUGCUUUUCAACAUCAUUCAUGGCGUUCCCGUCAACUUCCAUGAUUUCUUCAUGAGGACUCUGGCUAAUGUUGCUAUGUCACCUUUUGAGCUGAAGCCCUAUGCGCCUUGGAUUAUGGGAUUCAUAAGGGCAAGUUCCUCACUGAAUUACAAGGCUGACACUCUGAACCAUGGUAGCUACUUGCCGCCCAUUGAAGUCCUCAAGCGACCAGUUUCAUCAUCUGAUGAUAAGGGCAAGGCAGCUGCUGUGAUCGAUGAAGGCACUCGUCCAUUGGAUGGUUAAUUCCGUCUAGCUACAUCUUACUCCACCAAUGACGAUUCUGCAACACAUGACACUGCCGCAAAUACAUCAGCCAAGCAAAAGCCUCAAGCAACAGCACCCAGGGUGAUGACUGACCGUGAGUUACUCCUCAAUCUUCAUCAGAAGGUUGAUCGCAAUCACAAAUGGGUGAAGCGUCAGUUUGCUGCAAUUCUUCACAACAUGACCUCAACCCAUAAUGCAGUGAAGAAAAAUCAGUAUCACCUUCAUGAAACCCUCAACCGCACCUGGGCUGUUCUCACUCAUGUAUAUUCCGCGGAAGAACUGAAGACUAUGGGUCUCCAGGAAGCAUUUGACUGGUCUGCACCACCUCCAAAGAAAUUCAAGAGUCAAAGUUCCUGAUCUGGUGGCCAGUUCUUAUUCUUCAUCGCGUGAAACUGAUGAGCAUGAAGAUUUGGACUACAGUCCGGCAGGCCCUACUUCAACGAACAACCCCGACAACGCUGGCGCUCCUCCAUCGACUUGAAAUUCUUCAGGGGCGUUAGUCCUCAGUUUCGAUCCUUUUGGUCAUUUGAUGACAAAGGGGGAGAAAUCUGAGUUAGUCUUCAAGCGGGUUUAUAUUAUGGGCGUUUUAUUAAGUUACAAUUCUCGUUCUUCCGAAACUUUUUAUUGGAUCGAGUUGUAAUCUUAAAUCCGAUGGUGCCCUGAUACUUUUGGACGUGCAUGGUGCUCUGACUUUAAUGCACUGUGCUCUGAUACUUUUGAUGUGUUAUUCUGCAUGCUUAUUCCUCGUUAAUAUUAUUGCACGCAUGCUGAAUCUCAUCAGGCACCAUAUUUCAUCAUGCAUUUCAAAUUCUUCAUGUUAUAUAUCAAAUGCGUGUAUGAAUUACAAGAUAUAGGGGGAGAUCUCCAUGAUUCAAUUCUUCAAAUGUGCAUUGCCUCAAAAGCAAAUUCCUCACUAUGCACAUAUUCAGGGGGAGUUCUUCUAUAUCUUGCAAUCAAAUUCCUCAAUAUCAGUAUUUACACUUCAUAUGUUUAUCCCUGUUGAAAACUUAACCUAUGUUGUCAUCAAUCACCAAAAAGGGGGAGAUUGUAAGUGCAUCUAGUGCCCCUUAGUGAUUUUGGUGGAUUGAAGACUUAUAGGUUAAGUGACUGAUGCGUUUGUGAGUGUACACAGGUCUAUAAGUCUAUAAGGAGUUUGAUAUUUACAGAGAAAGUCGACCCCUAAAAAUGAAGUUCGACUGAAGACUUCGAUAUUCUGAAGACUUUCUGAAGACUUUGAAAGUGAAGAAAUUGGUGUGACCUUGAAGACUUGGUAUUCACUUGAGGAACAUGAAGCGUGAAGACUUUUGUUUUCGUAGUUUCAUUUUCUCUUUCUUGAGUCAUAGGAAACACCGUACUGUUAAAGGGGGUCGAGGAAAUACUAAAGAAAAAUUUCCAUGUGAUGCUCAACUCAAAAUCCUACACCUACCAAUCCCUUCGAGUGAAGCCAUUGGAAAUCUCAUACAGUUCAGUCAAUUUCUUCAGUGACAGAGAUGCAGUUCUUCUGGUCACUGAGGACUUUGCUCUAGCUGAGGAGUUAGGAAUUCGCCAGUGCGAAUUGCCUACACAGUGAGGAACAUGAUAGCCCUGAGGAAUUUGAGAGUCAAAUUUCCGACCGUUGCUGUGCUGCGCGCCGGCUGUCCAAAAUAUCUUAUCCACCUAACGGUCAUAUCAUUGAAGGGCAUUUAUGUCUUAUCAUGUCGGGCUGCUCCCUAGGCUAUAAAUAGCCACCCCCUACAACCACUAGUUGGUUGGCUGCUCCGAGAGAACUUGACACUUGUCAUCUAAGAGCAACCCAUCCUCCAAGGACUUUGAGCGAAAAUCAUCAAGUGAGGAAAACCCAAAACCAAACCCCCACAACCCAAAGUGAUUGAGCAUCACUGAAGAAAUUGAUCCUGCGUGGAUCCGACGCUUGUUACCUUUGAAGACUAUGCUUCUUCCAGACGGUUAGGCGUCAAGGUCUAGAGCAUCCAAGAGGAAUUGUGGAUCGCCGAGUGACCAAGUCUGUGAAGGUUUGGAAGUCACCUGAAGACUUACCACGAGUGAUUGGACGAGGCCUGCGUGGUCUUAGUUCAAGGAGAAUACGGUGAGGACUGGGUGUCCUGAGUUGCGGCUCGGAGACUGGGUGUCCGGGACUGUGUGUCCUCGAGUUUAAAUACUCAGUCGCUCCAACCAGACGUACAACUGAGACAGCAGUUGGAACUGGUUUACCCAAUCAUUGUCUUCACCAACUAACUGGUUCUAUUUCCUCAACUCUUUCAUUUCCUCAUUACUGUGUUGUAUGUUGUUCAUAUCUGUGCUUGAAGACUUUGACUGAAGACUUUCACAAAUUCCUUAGUUCAAUUUCUUCAGUCUGUUUGUCUUCAUCUUGUUAUCCUGUGUUUACGCUUUCUGUACUCUGUGCUAGUCUUCAUUUCAUCAUGAUAACUAUGUUUAUAUCCUGUUAUGUUUACUUCUGAGUACUUAUUCUGCUGCAAGUAGUUCUUCGCUAAGGAAUUUCCUCACCAGCAAAUUCCUCGGUGAAGAAUUCAUAAAAAUCGCCUAUUCACCCCCCCUCUAGUCGAUAUAACGCACUUUCAGCCCGCAGUGCGAAGCCGCCGAAUACGAAGAUCUGUGCGGGGAGAAAAGUCUCACCCUGGACGGCGUUGUUGAUUGAAGAAGCCGUCGAGCCUAUCGGUGAUGACACAGAGGAACUCUCAAUGAAAGCACCAAUGUCGGUGUCAAAACCGGCGGAUCUCGGGUAGGGGGUCCCGAACUGUGCGUCUAGGCAGAUGGUAACAGGAGACAAGGGACACGAUGUUUUACCCAGGUUCGGGCCCUCUUGAUGGAGGUAAAACCCUACGUCCUGCUUGAUUAAUAUUGAUGAUGUGUAUUACAAGAGUGGAUCUACCACGAGAUCAAGGAGGCUAAACCCUAGAAGCUAGCCUAUGGUAUGAUUGUUGUAAUGGAGGUUAUGUCCUACGGACUAAAGCCCUCCGGUUUAUAUAGACACCGGAGAGGGCUAGGGUUACACAGAGUCGGUUACAAUGGUAGGAGAUCUACAUAUCCAUAUUGCCAAGCUUGCCUUCCACGCCAAGGAAAGUCCCAUCCGGACACGGGACGGAGUCUUCAAUCUUGUAUCUUCGUAGUCUUGGAGUCCGGCGGACGAUGAUAGUCCGGCUGUCCGGACACCCCCUAGUCCAGGACUCCCUCACAUACCGAUGACAAAGGGAACAACGUAUGUUGUUUUGCGGUUUGACCAAUAAAGAUCUUCGUAGAAUAUGUAGGAUCCAAUAUGAGCAUCCAGGUUCCGCUAUUAGUUAUUGAUCGGAGAUGUGUCUCGGUCAUGUCUACAUAAGUUCUCGAACCCGUAGGGUCCGCACUCUUAACGUUCGAUGAUGAUUUGUAUUAUGAGCUAUGUGUUUUUGAUGACCGAAGUUUGUUCGGAGUCCCAGAUGAGAUCACGGACAUGAAGAGGAGUCUCGAAAUGGUCGAGAGGUAAAGAUUGAUAUAUUGGAAGGUUAUAUACGGACACCGGAAUGGUUCCAAAGAAGAUUGGGGAUUUUUCGGAGUACCGGGAGGUUACGGGAACACCCCGGAAAAGUUAAUGGGACUCAUGGGCCAUAGUGGAGAGAGGGAAGGCUGCCACAGGAGGUGGCGCACGCCUUCCCCCUGCCCAAACCGAAUUGGACAAGGGGUGAGGGCGCGGCCCCCCUUUCCUUCCCCCUUUCCCCUUUCCCCUCUCCGUUGGAAGGAAGGGGGCCGAAUCCUACUUGGACUAGGAGUCCAAGUAGGACUCCCCCCUUGGCGCGCCCCUCCUAGGCCGCCGGCCUCCUCCUCCCCUCCUUUAUAUACAGGGGCGGGGGCACCCCAAAGACACACCAAGAAUUCACUUAGCCGUGUGCGGUGCCCCCCUCCGCAGUUUACUCCUCCGAUCAUAGCGUCGUAGUGCUUAGGCGAAGCCCUGCGCGGAUCACAUCAUCACACACUGUCACCACGCCGUCGUGCUGACGGAGCUCUCCCUCGACCCUCUAUUGGAUCAAGAGUUCGAGAGACGUCAUCGAGCUGAACGUGUGCUGCACACGUAGGUGCCGUACGUUCGGUACUUGGAUCGGUUGGAUCGUGAAGACAUUCGACUACAUCAACUGCGUUAACUAACGCUUCCGCUUUCGGUUUACGAGGGUACGUGGACACACUCUCCCCCUCUCGUUGCUAUGCAUCUCCUAGAUAGAUCUUGCGUGAUCGUAGAUUUUUUUUUGAAAUUGCAUGCUACGUUUCCCAACACCGGGGUCCCGGAGACUCAGUGCCGACAGCGUCCCGGUGCCUCUAGCACCCAUCAGAGCUGAUCGGCGCGCCAAAAUCGCGUGCAUCCGGUCCUCGUUGUCGGAGUAGGCGCGGAACCAGCUGAAGUACGCCCCCGACAGCAACACGCUGUGGACGGCGUACUUCGACCGGCCCCACGAGGAGCAGCUCGCUUCCACCAACGGCAUCAAGCCACGCGGCCGCCCUCCGACGGGUGGCGCCAAUGGUGGGCGUCCCCGGCCGCACCCUCGAGGCCGUCCUCGAGUACAUUGAGGUCGGCAACACGCCGCGCCUGGAGUACCCGGUGCCCCCCUCGUUCUCUCACCCCCGUGGCAGCUCCUGGACGCCGCGGCAAAUGAAGACGACGACCUCCUCGUCGUCGGGCUCCCUCUCCUCCGGAUCGCCGGUGCUCCGCCCCGUUAAGCCGGAGCCUGGCGGCGCCCUAGUCAUCAACGAGGACGGCCGUGGCCCCUCUCCUUCCUCUUCCCACCUCGUCAGGCCGAAGACCGAGCCGGGGCUGCUCCCCGUGAAGAAGGAGCAUGAGGCCAUGGCCGCAGACGACGAGACCGCCCUCAAAUGGGCACGGGGGGCUACGUCCGCGAGGAGAUGGCGCGCCAGCGCCGCGCCCUCAAGGAGAUCACCGCUCGGCGCCGUGGACGCGAGGAGGGCGGCGUCCUCUUCCUCGACGACAUCGACGAGGAGGCGCCCGGGCCGUCCAAUCCCCCACGCAUCGGCGACGCUGGUCAGGGGUGUGGCAGGGACAACGGCGGCACGCAGGACGGCAGCGAUGACGAUGGCGGCGACUACACCAGGAUGACAGGUUGUUCGGCAUGUAGAAGGCAGGCGGCGGUGGCUUUAGUAUUUAUUACUUUUAAUAGUAGUAGUAGCUAUUUGUUUUAAAUUUAUGUUUUCGGUUUUUUUACAAAUAUCAAUGAAAUCAUCUAGUUUGACUGAAUUUGUGUUGCGUUUGGCCGAAUUUCGGCCGAGUUUAGUUGUGAAAAAACGGCGUCUAAGGCGGCCUUGGCGGCGCGGUUGGGAAACCGACUGCCCCCAUGCCGUUUUGGCCGAAUUUUAACCGAGUUUAGUUUUCAAAAAAAGACGUCUAGGGCGGCCUUGGCGCGGCGGUUGGGAAACCGCCGCCCCCAUGCUGAUUUUUCCACCGGCACGCCCCCACAUGGCGCUAUUUCAAGUUCCUGUGGCCCGAACGAGUUGGGAGUAUCUUAGGAAGGGAGGGAGUACCAAGAAACAAGAAUCAUCACCCCCCACUAAAAGUUCACCACAAACCGAGAAACGGAGACCAAGAUGCAGGGAUUUCGAUGAUGAAAGGAAAGUCAAAAGCAAGAAACACUUUGUCACUCCGUAUGAGCAACGACGAAAGUAUGAACUUGGAAACUAAAUGUACGUCCUGACAGUACAGUACUCCAACUUGAUCAUACUUUAUGCUGAAAAUACGUUACAAACGCAUCCUAAUUUGUUUUCUCCCUGCAAAAAUUUGCAUCUUGUCCUCACAGAUACAGAUCUAUCAAAAUCCAUAAACCUAUCGCAAACCCUGGGCCAACAAAUAAGGAACAGAUCGAGUCUGAAUGACAUUUCAGACAUUCAGUAUCUGGAUAUCAUGGCAUGUCGUACCCAUCCAUCCAUGGACUUGCCAUUCCUGCCUCUGCAACGCCAUCCAGCGCAAUGGCAUCAACUGAGAGAAGCCACGGAUCCGGGGAAGAGAAGAGCGGCU